This 85123-nucleotide long non-coding RNA is filed under the name Gossypium barbadense (sea-island cotton). RNAcentral's name for it is "long non-coding RNA (GBAR_LNC002935)". Lineage: Eukaryota; Viridiplantae; Streptophyta; Magnoliopsida; Malvales; Malvaceae. The record is from RNAcentral.
CAGAAGGUUAAGAUACAUCUUCUCACCACCAUCGCUCGAAAUUUGCCACAAUUGUGGAUUUUGGAUAUAUCUGACUGUGAGGAAUUGGAGCAAAUAAUUGAGAAGGAUCAAACUCCAUCACAACAUCAUCUCCAACCUAUUUGCUUCCCUUAUCUGUCUUUGAUUACAAUAAGGAAGUGUGAAAACUUGAAAUGUCUCUUCUCGAUUACUCUUGCUCAUGGCGGCCUUCCAAACCUAGAUCAAUUAGACCUUCUAAGGCUCUCCAAAUUAGAGCAGGUGUUUGAAGGAGAUGAGUCAAAUGUGAGUAAGGACCAAGAGAAAGUGAUACACCUACCUCGAUUAACCGACUUAGUGCUUCGUAACCUACCAAACCUCGUGAGCUUCAGCCCUGUGGGUUAUCAUUUUGUUUUCCCAUCUUUAACGGAUUUACAAGUAAAAGGUUGUCCCAACAUAACCACAAGAUUUAGUGUUGAUUCAGAGAAAUCAGUGCAUGCUAAAACACAGGUACACUACUCUUCCAAACUCAGCAAUAAGCUUUAAAACAGAAAUUCAUCCAUUCAAUUAUUUUCUCAUGUAUUCUCCCAAACUCUUUAUUUACUAAGCUUUAAUUUCUAUGCAUUAACACAAUAUUUUUAUUUUGGCUGUCUGAGAGAUUCUUUUUUUAUGCUUUAAAUGACUAAAUGAAAUUGCAUCAACUGUGAUUGGUUUCUGCUGGCUGUCAAUAUUUCUUUCUACAUAUCCUUGUUACAUUGUUAUUUUCAAUUCACAGUUCUUGUUCUUAAUAUGUCAUCCUUUGUCCAAUUUUGGGAUACUGGCUUUGCUUUCUUCAUCAUCAAUCAUCAAAGGUUUAAUUUGCUUUGCAGGCAAGCCAAUCAGUUGAUGAAAUUAUAGUGGAAGAAUCUGCUACAGCUCAAGAAACUGCAUUGCCAAUUGGUUAUAUGUGCUGGACCAAAGAGGAAGAUGAAAGUGAUUUUGAAUAUGAAGAUGAAAGUGAUGAAGUGAUUUUGAAUAUGAAGAUGAAAGUGAUUUUGAAUAUGAAGGUGAAAGCACAGGUACACUACUCUUCCAAACUCAAUAAUAAGCUUUAAAACAAAAGUUCAUCCAUUGAAUUUCUUUCUCUAUGUAUUCUCUCAAUACUAAGCUUUAAUUUCUAUGCAUUAAUGCAAUAUUUUUAUUUUGGCUGCCUGAGAGAAAUUCUUUUUUUUUUUAUGCUUUAAAUGACUAAAUGAAAUUGCAUCAACUGUAAUCGGUUUCUGUUGGCUGUCAAUACUUCUUUCUAGAUAUCAUUGUCGCAUUAUUAAUUUCAAUUCACAGUUCUUAUUCAUAAUAUGUCAUCCUUUGUCCAAUUUUGGAGAAUUGGCUUUGCUUUCUUCAUCAUCAAUCAUCAAAAGCAAACAGUAAUAAGUUAAGGUUUAAUUUGCUUUGCAGGCAAGCCAAUCAGUUGAUGAAAUUAGAGUGGAAGAAUCUGCUACAGCUCAAGAAACUGCAUUGCCAAUUGGUUAUAUAUGCUGGACCAAAGAGGAAGAUGAAAGUGAUUUUGAAUAUGAAGAUGAAAGUGAUUUUGAAUAUGAAGAUAAACAGGUACACUACUCUUCCAAACUCAAUAAUAAGCUUUAAAACAAAAGUUCAUACAUUGAAUUAUUUUCUCUAUGUAUUCUCCCAAUACUAAGCUUUAAUUUCUAUGCAUUAACACAAUAUUUUUAUUUUGGCUGUCUGAGAGAUUCUUUUUUUAUGCUUUAAAUGACUAAACUGUAAUUGGUUUCUGCUGGCUGUCAAUAUUUGUUUCUAGAUAUCAUUGUUGCAUUAUUAAUAUCAAUUCACAGUUCUUGUUCUUAAUAUGUCAUCCUUUGUCCAAUUUUGGAAAACUGGCUUUGCUUUCUUCAUCAUCAAUCAUCAAAAGCAAACAGUAAUAAGUGAAGAUUUAAUUUGCUUUCCAGGCAAGCCAAUCAGUUGAUGAAAUUAUAGUGGAAGAAUCUGCUACAGCUUAAGAAACUGCAUGGCCAAUUGGUAGUGAUAUAGAAGGGUGGACUAAAGAGGAAGACGAAAGACAUUUUGAAUUUUAAAAUGAAUGGAGCAGUAAAUGAAGUAAUUUAUAUUUAAGGAGUUGAUUUGAAAAUUACGCAUUGUGAAUGUUUAAAUUGAAUGCCAUUUAUUCGUUAAAUUGAAGACAGAUUUAUUGAGCUAUAAGCGAGGAAUGAGCUGAUGUUUGAAAGAAAAUGGCCUAAAAUGUCUAGUUUGGUAUUUCUUUCAAAUAUUCGGGCAUUGAUGUGGGUUAGAUCAGUAUAUGAUGAAUUGAAAGUGGAUGAGAGAAUUUGGUGGGUCUGCCCUAUUAGAAGUUGGAGUGAUGUCAAGAAAUCUGGGUUGAGUGGUAGGUUUUGGUGUCCUCCAUGUUUUGGUUGUGUUGAAGUUGGCCAGCAUGUGGCACAAGAACCAGCAAGCAGCAGGCCAUGCAGCCCGAGCCAAGCAGAUGCAGUUGAGGAAACUGUUUCUUUUAGUUCAUUUUGUUACACUAAGUUGUGUAAUUUAGUUUAUUUUCAACUUGUUGCUUAUGCAUUUGAAGUAGUUAGGUAGUAUUGAGCUGAUAAAUCAGCUUGUCAAAGUGUACAAGAAAUGUUUUAACAAGUUUCAAUGUUGUUUAGUGGUGUUGGUGGAUGUUUAGGUGAAAUUUGUCUAUUUUGACCAGCUUAUGUCUGGUAUAUGUAAUGGCUUUUAUGCCAAAGUUCUUUUUUAAUGAAAAUUUAUCAGAUUUUUCAUUCAUAUAUACUCCAUUAUUUUUCUUGUUUUUCGAUUCUGUUCUUGUUUCUAAGAAAAUUUUUGCUUGUUUCUUCCACAAGCCACGAGCCUUGUUGCUCAAGACUCAGGUUUGGCUAAGUUGCUUUGUUUCUUAAACCCCAACAAUUGGUAUCUAGAGCCUUUGUCUUAGUGGACCUGUUGUAACUGAAUCUCAAAGUUAUGGCUUCAUCAAGCUUUUCUCCUACAGCACCACCAGAAUUCAAUAGAGAAGGCUUUCAUAUAUGGGUGGUUAAGAUGAAGACUUAUCUGCAGGCCUUUGAUCUGUGGGAAGUUGUAAACACGGAUGUUGAGCCAGCUCUACUCAGAGCCAACCCCACAGUGGCUCAGAUCAGGCAGCACGUAGAUAAGAGGACCAAGAGGCACAAAGCCAUGUCCUACAUUCAGAACUGUGUAUCAGAUGUCAUGUUCACAAGGAUUAUGGCCUGUGAAACACCAAAGUAGGCUUGAGACAAGCUUAAGGAGGAGUUUCAAGGCACUGAAAGGACAAGGCAGUAGCAGCUGUUAAACCUGAGGAGAGAUUUUGAGAAUUUGAAGAUGAAUGAGGAAGAAACAGUAAAACAGUACUCAGACAGAAUUAUAGUUGUGGUAAACAGCAUAAGGCUCCUUGGAGAGCAACUUAGUGAAGCAAGGAUAGUGGAGAAAGUGAUCUCAACCUUACCUAAAAGGUAUGAGGCAAAAAUAUCAUCCCUCGAAGACUCAAGGGACCUAACUAGCAUCUCAUUGACAGAGCUGGUCAAUGCUCUCUAUACACAAGAGCAAAAAAGAGCUAGUAGACUGGAGGAGCACCAAAAGGGUGCCUUCCAAUCCAAAACCAAGCCUGCCUCGAGCACCAUUACGUACAAAGGCAAGAAGACUUGAAGAGACAAGCCUAAGUCAGAUGCCCCAAAAAGAUGGGAUAGACCCUACAGGCAUUGCAAAAGGCCUAGUCAUCUAGAAGCAAAUUGCUAGUUUAGACCAGAUGUGCAGUGCCAAUACUGCAGGAAAAUGGGCCAUGUUGAAAAGGUCUGCAAAAACAAAGGCAAACCAAGGCAAGGUCAGCCACAAUAGCCAAAGGCUGAGGCUCGAGCAGCUAAAGAAGGUAGUGACCAUGAGGAGCAGGUCUUUGCAGUCUCCUGUUCAGCUGCUCAAGAGAAAAUCUCAAAUAGAUGGCUCUUAGACAGUGGCUGUACUAACCAUAUGUCACCAGAUGCUGCCAUUUUUAAGUCAUUAGACAGAAGCUACAAAACCAAAGUAAAGGUUGGCAAUGGGCACUUUAUCAAGGGAGAAGUUAAAGGGGAUGUGUUGAUAUGCACUCCCACAGGUAACAAGCUCAUUCCAAAUGUGUUAUUUGUGCUUGAAAUUGAAAGAAACUUACUUAGCAUAGCUCAGUUGCUUGAGAAGGGUUAUACUAUUGUGUUUAAAGGCAAACAGUGCCAAAUUAGUGAUCCAAGUGGAUUUAUGCUCAUGUCAGUCACUAUGGCUGAUAAAAGUUUUGUUGUUGACUGGAAUCAAGCUUCAAUCUCAGCUUAUACAGCUUCUCUUGAUGAAUCCAAGCUUUGGCAUCAAAGACUUGGUCAUGCCAACUAUAGAUCGAUGGGCUAGCUAACUAAACAGGAUCUAGUUGAAAACUUCAUCAACUCAGUUGAGAAGGAGGAUGUUUGUGAGGUGUGUCAGCUAGGAAAAUAAGCCAGGCUUCCAUUUCUAUCAAACAAGCCCUGGAGGGCCUCAGAAAAGCUACAACUUGUGCACAUAGAUGUGUGUGGCCCCAUGAAGACUCAGUCACUAAAUGGCAGGAGGUAUUUCAUCUUUUUUAUUGAUGAUCAUUCAAGAUUUUGCUGGAUUUACUUCUUGAAGCACAAAUCAGAAGUGGCCUCAGUGUUCUGGAAGUUCAAAGCUGCUGUUGAGACUGAGACAGGCUGCAAGUUUAAGACUAUAAGGUCUAAUAAUGGAACUGAGUAUACCUCAGCUCAGUUUCAAGCCUUUUGUGAUGAAGCAGGUAUCAAACACCAACUCACCAACACUUAUACACCUCAACAGAAUGGUGUAAGUGAAAGAAAGAACAUGAGCUUGAUGGAUAUGGCUAGGUGCUUACUGUUUGAGAAGAAUUUAGCCAAAACCUUGUGGGUUGAGGUAGUCAACACUACUGUGCAUUUACAGAAUAGGCUUCCAACUAAGGCUUUGGCUCACAAAACACCAUUUGAGGCCUGGUUCGGGUUCAAGCCAUCAUUGGCUCGUUUGAAAGUCUUUGGUUGCAUUGCUAUGCACUAGUACCAGCUGUAAAAAGAGGCAAGCUGGAUAAGAAAUCUCAAACAGACAUUUUAGUAGACUAUAGCACAGCCAAGAAGGGCUAUAGGAUCUUGGAUCCUUCAACAAACAAAGUGCUAGUGAGCAGAGAUGUUGUGUUCAAUGAAAAGGAAAGUUGGAAUUGGGAGAAGAAUGAGCCAGAGGCAGUUUCUAAAGACCUUGUGGCUGAUCAGACUGAGCCUGAUGAAAAUGGUCCUAAAGAGGACAUUGAUGAUGAACCAGUCAGGGGCACUAGACUGUUGACUGAUAUUUAUGAAAGGGCUCAAGUAGCCAUAGUUGAACCAAGCUACUUUGAAGAGGCUGAGAGUCAUGAAGCCUGGAAACAAGCAAUGGUUGAUGAAAUCAGCAUGAUUGAAAAGAACCAAACUUGGGAAUUGUUUGAAAAACCAGCCAACAAGAAGAUUAUUGGUGUAAAAUGGGUCUAUCGAGCUAAACAGAAUGCUGAUGGUAGCUUGAACAAACUAAAAGCUAGGCUUGUAGUGAAGGGGUUUAGCCAAAAGUAUGGCUUGGACUAUCUGGAAACCUUUACACCAAUGGUCAGGCUUGACACCAUCAGGUUACUAGUUGCCUUAGAAGCACAAAUACAGUGGAAAAUCCACCAACUUAAUGUGAAGUCAGCAUUUUUAAAUGGACUCCUUGAAGAAGAGAUUUAUGUUGAGCAACCUCAAGGCUUCAAAGUGGCAGAUAAAGAAGAUAUGGUGUAUAGACUGAAGAAAGCCUUAUAUGGCUUAAAACAGAUACCAAGGGCCUGGUAUAGCAGGAUCGGCAGAUACUUGGUCAGUUUGAGAUUUGAAAGGAGUACUAGUGAGCCAACAUUGUAUGCUAAAAAGCAAGGAGUUGAGACUCAGCUCAUUGUAUCCCUAUAUGUUGAUGAUCUAUUGGUGACAGGAGGAGACCAAGCAGUGUUGACUGAUUUUAAAGCCAAAAUGGAGCUACAGUUUGAGAUGUCUGAUCUUGGAAGAAUGACCUAUUUUCUUGGUAUAGAGGUGUCACAAACUAAAAAUGGAAUAUUCCUAAUCUAGAAAACCUUUGCCUCCAAAAUUCUAACCAAGUUCACCAUGAAAAAUAGUAAAGCAACAAGCACUCCUAUUGCUAUGGGAGAAAAGCUAUCAAGCCAAGUCAUUUCUAAACAAGUUAGUGAAUCAGUAUAUAGGAGCCUAGUUGGUUGUUUGCUAUACCUGACUGCCACUAGGCUAGACAUCAUUUUUUGUGUAAGCUUACUCUCGAAGUUUAUGCAUUGUUGCAACAAAAAGCAUUUUCAAGCAGCAAAAAGGGUGCUCAGGUACAUCAAAGGUACCCUGAGUUAUGGAAUGCUGUAUAGCAAGGCUGAAAACCUUAGAUUGGUUGGCUAUACUGACAGUAACUAGGCUGGUUCGAUGGAUGACAUGAAGAGCACCUCAGGAUAUGUUUUUACCCUUGGCUCAACCAUCUUUUGUUGGAGUUCGAAGAAACAAAAUGUAGUUUCUUAGUCAACUGCUGAGGCAGAGUAUGUUGCAGUUGCUGAAGCUGUUAACCAAGCUAUAUGGCUAAGAAAAAUCUUGGCUGAUCUGAAUCUACAUCAAAAGGGAGCAACAGAGAUAAAAUGUGACAACAAAUCUGCUGUUGCAAUUUCAAAGAAUCCGAUUUUUCAUGGAAGAACUAAGCACUUCAGUAUUAAGCUUCAUGUUGUUAGAGAAAUGGAGCAAGCUCAAGAGAUAGAACUAGUUCAUUGCAAUUUAGAAGAUCAAAUUGCUGACAUCUUGACAAAACCCCCCAGUUUGGCAAGGUUCAUCAAGUUAAGAAGGCAAAUGGGAGUAUGCAACAUGCUAGCCAAGGAGGAGUGCUGAAGUUGGCCAGCAUGUGGCACAAGGACCAGCAAGCAGCAGGCCAUACAGUUCGAGCCAAGCAGAUACAGUUGAGGAAACUGUUUCUUUUAGUUCAUUUUGUUACACUUAACUUGUUGCUAAUGCAUUUGAUGUAGUUAGGUAGUAUUGAGCUGAUAAAUCAGCUUGUCAAAGUGUACAAGAAAUGUUUUAACAAGUUUCAAUGUUGUUUAGUGGUGUUAGGUGGAUGUUUAGGUGAAAUUUGUCUAUUUUGACCAGCUUAUGUCUGGUAUAUGUAAUGAAUUUUAUGCCAAAGUUCUUUUUUAAUGAAAAUUUAUCAGAUUUUUCAUUCACAUACGCUCCAUUAUUUUUCUUGUUUUUCUAUUCUGUUCUUGUUUCUAAACAAGUUUCUGCUUCUUUCUUCCACAAGCCACAAGCCUUGUUGCUCAAGACUCAAGUUCAUCUAAGUUGCUUUGUUUCUUAAACCCCAACAGGUUGGGUUAAAUUUAAAGUGUGUGGUGUGAAGAUUGAGGGUGAAGCAGGGUGUGGAGGGGUGUUAAGAAAUUUAGAAUGGGUGGCAAGGGCAGUGUUUUCAGGUCCAUGUGUAGUGAAAGAUUCAUAUGCCGCAGAGGUGGGGGCGAUUAACUUAGCUUUGGAUGUGUUUCUAGAGAUGAGGUGGAAGGGUAGGUGUUCUUUAAUUAUCGAGGUUGGUUCCACGGAGGUGUUUAGCUGGGUUGUGAACAAAGGUUCGAGACCGUGGUCGCUAUUCUCUUUCUUUAAGGAAGUUGAUUUCAGGUUGUCUAGUAUUGGGAAUGUAUCCUUUUCAAGGGUGGACAAACACAGUAAUGCGAUGGCCUUUGCACUGGCGGUUGUUGGUUUGAAAAGGUAGGGUAUGUUUAAUGCAUGGUGGUGAUCUUAGUGUGUUGCUCUAGGGUGUUUGCAGGUGUAAUUGCUGGCUGUUUUGUGGUUGUAUGGGGUGUUUUGUGCAGGUUUUUUUUUUGUUUUGUGGUCCGUUUAUCAGAGAUGGUUUUUUUUGUUUGGUUGUGGGGGGUUUGUUUGCUGUGCUGUGACUGUGUUUCGGAUUAUGUUCUUUGGCGGGGUUUGUUUUGUUCUUGUUGUAUGUUUUGCUUUACUUCAGCUUUGAUUGCUGUUGGUUUUGAUCAAGCAAAAAAAAAAUUGUUUUAGUUAUACCCUUAACCACUUGUCUAGAAAUUAAUAUCAACUUUAUUAAAAGCAUUCUUCAUUUGUUUACAUGAGUUUUUAAAUUAUUUUUGGGUAACACGGUUCGCAUUUAUGCCAAACAGUUAUUCGAUACAAUAUAUUAAUCUUCUUACCAUAUGUAUCUAUGAGUUAAAACAUAAGUGUCAUUUAUUAAUUUAUCAUCUUACCCUUAACAUAUUUUUUUAUAUAGUCUAAAAUAAAAUAUAAAAUAUUAGUAUUUAUAAAAUAUUUACAUUAAAAUAUAAUAAAAUAACAAAAUAAAAAAUAUUAUAACAAUUAAUUUUAUAAAAUAUUAAAACAAUAAAAUAAAAUUAUUAUUGUUUAAAAAUAAUAUAAUAAUAUUAUUACUUUUUAAAAAAUAAUAAAAUAAAAAUAUUAAAAAAUUAGUUUUUAUAUUAAUAUUAAUAUAUUAGUGUAAAUAAUAAAAAAUUGUCGAUUUUAAAACUUUUUUUAUUUUAGAAAAUAAACUUAGUCUAUUUUCAAAAAGACAUAUGAGUUAAUAAAAAUUAAUUUAUUUUUAACAUAUUUCAUGUAAGGGUGUCCAUCUUAGUUAAUUUAUUAUCUUUCCAAAACUUAUUUUCAACUUUAACCGUGAAAAAGUUAUAUUAAUGUGAUUUAAUAAAAACCAUGCUUCAUACAUAAUUAAAUAAAAAUCCAUAUUCUAAUAGCCUAAAUGAUUUAAAUGUCAAGCAUGCCUAAGUAAAAAUAGUAAGCUAAGUCUACUAACACAAUUCAAAAUAAAAUAUUACAGUCUUUAAAAAAUAAUAAUAUAUCAAAUAGUAACUUAAGAAUAUUUAAUAAAAUCGAGCCAAACACCUCCAAAUGCCAAGUCCGUGUCCUAACCUUGCAGGUUAUCUAAAAAGAUGCGAAUAAAAAGGGAGUGAGCUAUGAAGCUCAGUGUGAGUUCUAUCACAAGACAAAUCGGUGCAAACUGUAGACACAUCAUACAGAAAAUCAAUUCAUAAAUUAAAUCACAUUUACUUAGUCAAAUUGAAUAUUGGUAAUUCAUAUUGGGUGAGCGUUCGAUCGAAUCGAAUCGAAUCGAAUAAAAAAUUUUGAGUUAAUCGAGUUGACGAAUAAUAUUUUAUCAUCCUAAUUUGAUUUGAAAUUUUCUCGAAUCGAGUCGAGUGAGAUGAAAUUCGAAUCGAAUCGAAUCGAAUAUAUUUAUUCUAGUUAAAUUUUAAAAAUAAUUUUUGGUCCUUGUAACCACUAUCACCCACCGUAAUAAAAUUUGUUCACCGUAAUCAAUUUUUUUAUUAACUUUCAUCAACUCAUAAUUUAUUUAUUAAUCUUUUAUAUACAAGUUAGCUUCUUUGCUUACUUAGCUAUUUCAAUUAUCUUCAGAGUCUUGUCCCUAUGUAUUUUGGAAUUAAAAAAUAUAUUAAAAGUAAAAAUGUGAUUUUUUUAAUAAAAGUUACUUUAAAGAUAAAAUGUGAAAUUGAUACCAAUAUAAAAUUUUAACACGAAUGUUUUAUGACAUCAUUAAUAAUUAAAUUUUAAUAUAAAUAUUCAAUAUGACUAAACAAUUCAAUAAUAUAAAUAAUAUAAAUGUGAAAUUUAAUUUAAAAUAUAAAUAGUAGAUAUAAAUAAAAUUAUUACUAUUUAUAUUUAGGGAUUUUGUUUGGAUAAUUUUUAUUUUUUAUUUUGGGAAUAAAGGGUGAGAGGUAAAAGUUUAAAAGGAAAAUAAAAAGUUUUGGGGAGUAAAAAUUUGAGGGAAAGUAAAUAGGAGAGAGUAAAAUUUUGGAGGGAAAAUAUUAAUAAAAAAAUUAGGGGAGGGGGAUGAAUUUGGGGUAGAUGAGGAUCGGAGGGAAGUAAAAGUUUUAGGGGAAAAUGGAAAGGAGUAAAAAAUAUGGGGAAAAAUAAAAAGUUUUGAGGGUUUUUGGGAGUAAAAUUUUGAAGAAAAGUAAAUGGGAGAGUAAAAUUUUGGUGGGAAAUGGAUUUUGGGUAGAUGGCGGGUUAGGAUGGGAAGGGAGUAAAAGUUUUGGGGGGAAAGUGGGAAGGAGUGAAAGUUUUGGAGGGAAAGUGGGAAGAAGUAAAAGUUUUGAGGGAAAAGUAAAAAGGUUUGGAAGUUUGGGGUAAAAAUGUAAAAUAUUAUAGUUUGAUAUUUGAUUUAUUCGAAUUAUUCGAGUUAUUCGAAUUCGAAAACUCAACUCGAUUCGAACUCAAAAUUCAAAAAAAAGAAUUCGAGUUGACUCGAACAACUCGAUUCGUUUAACUCAAAAUUCAAAUUUUUUUCAAUUUUUUCGAGUUGAAUCGAGUUUUGCUCACCCCUAAUUCAUAAUACUAAUCAACAGAACAAUUCAAUGUUCAUAGCCAUGUAAUUGCUUAUGAAUGCAAUGCAAGUUCGGUUUAAUAGGCGAUUGCCAACUAGAAUAUGUUGUGGAACUCCUCUACCUUCACACCACGUUGUGGAUAAACCACUUAUCAUUGCGGGUAAUUGCUAACGAUAAGAUGUUAGUGGAUGAACCAUCCGUCGAUGUAGAUAAAAGUUGCUAGUACAUUGUGGAUGAACCACUGGUCGAGUAGGCAAUUACCGACUAGAAUACGUUGUGGAUAAAUCAAUGGUCGAACAGAUAAACUGUCGACUACUUCCUCCAUUCAAAUCGUCCCACCCAUGCAAUGCAUCAAGACAUGUUAUACAGUUCAAUAUGGUAGCGAAUAGUUUGAUUUUAACAAAUCAAUUCAAUGGCAAAAGUCAUGCUUACUAGGCGUUCAAUUUAACGGUAGCAUAAGGCAUGCUUAUAACAUAUUGAAAUAGAAACGGUUAACAUACUUAUAAUAGCUCCAAUAUAGCAACAAUAUUUAUGUUCUCAACUAAUUGAUGCAGUAGCCAAACAUAUACUUUUCAAAAAGAAUCCAAUCUAGCUGUAUCUUAAAACAUAUUAUAUGAACAUUAACAAAUACAGAUUCAAUCAACACAAUUAUACACAAUUUAUGCAAGUAUAAAUUAAUAAACAAAUAAUUCAGUCAAUUAGGGCGUGUAUUCUAGCAUUAUUUAUAUUAUCAAGGGCUUAAUUGAAUAAAUUAAACACUAAAAACAAUUUGGGAACCAAUUAGGGACUAAUUUGUACAGUUUCUAAACUUUUCGGUUAAAACUGUAAAAUUAGGUUCCAGAGGACACAUGACUAUGUGGGUCACAUGGUCAUGUGGUCAUGCCAUGUGGUUUAGGUUGGGUUCAAUUUUGCCCCGAUUUUCUCAUAAAAAAACACAAUCUGAUUUCUGGGGAAACGAUUUAUUAAGGUGGUGUUGAAGGUGGAGUUGUGUGCAUGGGAAACAAUUCAUUCAGUAAGGUAAUCAAUAUUGGUAUUGUUAAAAUUAUGAUGUACGAUAGGAUGAUUAGGACAUUCUCAGAUGUCAGGUAUGUACCUGAUUUACGAAAGAAUCUCAUCUCCUUGAGUAUUUUAGACUCAAAAGGUUGUAGAAUAAACAUUGAGUCAAGUGACAUUACGAUGUCUCGUGGGGCUCUCGUUUUAUUAAAAGGUAAAAGGACCAACAGUCUUUAUAUUCUAGAAGGUUCUACAGUGAGCAAUGAAACCAGGCAUCCUUCGAUCAUUAUGGAGUCAAAGUCAACUCAUUUGGAGUGGAGAAAAGUUGGUCAAAUAAGGUAAAAAUGUAUGAUCGUUUCAUUGAAGAGAGGUUCUAUUUUGGGUGCAAGUUUUGAAAAGUUAGGUCACUGUAUUCGUGAAAAUCAAAUAUGUGUUAGUUUUGAUUUGGUAGUGAGCAAGUCGAAGGCUAGAAGUCUUCCAGCUUCUAAGCACAUAUUCGACUCAGUUAAUUCCCUGCAUAGUUUAAAAUAAGCCCGUGGUAGGUUUUGGAAAAGAUAACGUUAUGGAAAUACGAGUUAAGGUGGAGAUUUAUUGCCAAAGUUGGUUGUAAUAUCAUUGGAUAUUUCUUCUGGACAUCUUCUAGACAGCUUUUUUUCCAUAAAGUAUGGAGUUUUGAUGUUUGCUUUGGCAUGCGAAUUGGAAAAUUUGUAACUUGGCGAAUCCCAAGAUUUUUGAGAAUCAAGAAGUCUGUAGAUGCAUGGAAGCAACUAUUUGAAGAUGUAGAAUCUGUUGUACUGAAUGAUGUGGUGGGUCACCCAAACCUUGUUCCAAGCUUGGAUUUGGGAUUUAGAAAGUUGACUUCUCUAGAUCUUUACUUGUGCGACUCUAUGCAAUGCCUAAGUGAUGCAUCAAAGCAAUAGGUGCCAAUGAUUGCAUUCUCUAAUUUGAGAAAGUUAUCAUUAAGUCUUAUGUUUGAUUUGGAAGAGAUGUGCAAUGUUCCCCAGCUGCAAGGUUUUUUACAAAAGCUUGAAGAGGUUUAAGUUGAAAGUUGUUAUAAUAUGCAAGUUUUAUUUCCGAUUGUUGAAUUGAGGAGCAUAGAACAAAAAGGGCACAGUCGUCAUUUAAGCCUCAAAAGUCUGAAGAUUGUUGAAAUAGAGAGAUGCAAUAAUUUGAAAUAUAUGUUUGUUGCUAACAGCCUUGGGCAAUUGCAUACUUUGAAAAUAAAGAGCUGCUCGCAAUUAAAAGAAAUAAUCUAAGACUCAUAAGUGCCAAAAAUAAGACUCCAAAGUCUAAAAGAAGUAAAAGUUGAAAAAUGCGAUAAGUUAAAGUAUCUCUUUCGUCUUUCUGUUGAUAAUGGUCUUGGACAAUUGCAUACUUUGGAGAUAAAGAGUUGCUCGCAAUUGGAAGACAUAAUCCAAGGCCCACAACUGCCAUAUGUAAGCCUCCAAAGUUUAUGGGAAGUAAAAGUUGAAAAAUGUGAUAACUUAAAGUAUCUCUUUCCACUAUCUGUUGCUAAUAGUCUUAGACAAUUGCAUACUUAGAAGAUAAAAAGUUGCACUCAAUUGGAAAACAUAAUCCAAGACCUGCAAGUGUCAUACAUAAGCCUCCAAAGUUUAAGGGAAAUAAAAGUUGAAAAAUGUGAUAAUUUAAAAUAUCUCUUCCACUAUCUGCUACUAAUACCCUUGGGCAAUUGCAUACUUUGAAAAUAAAGAGUUGCUCGCAAUUGGAAGAUGUAAUCCAAGACCCACAAGUGCCAUACAUAUGUCUACUCCAAAGUCUAGGGGAAGUAUGUGUAUCUCAUUGCAAUAACUUGACAUCUCUUUUCCUUAUUGUCCUAUGGUGAAAGAUUGAGAAAUUUGAUUGUGCUUUUCAUUUCAGGUUUCAUUGAUUGAUUUGCCUCAAUUGAAAGGAAGGGAUGUGAAUGAUAUCAUGCUCACACAAUUGUCUUUGCGGAAGUUAGAAGUGAACAAUUGUCUUCAAUUGACACUUUUUAUUAUUUAGACUCAGAUACAAGUAAGAUUUAUUUUUGUUAUAUAUUAUUUAUUUAUUAAUUUAUUUCUUUUUUUUCUUUAAUAAUUCGUUGUCUGAAAUCAGCAAACCAUUGUAUAGUUGUUUAAAUGAUAAAUUUUAUUUUAUAAUUUUGUUCUGAAACUAAUCUACAUAAUCUUUUAAACAACUUAGUUUACUAUAAUACCAUUUAAUAAGAUAAAUAAAAUUUCAAUAAAAAAAAUAUUAAACAAACUUUAUGUUUUAGAUAUGUUGCAAAUUCUUUAUCAAAUAUUAAAUAAACUAUAUAAAAUUGUAUUUAAGUUUUUCUUAUUUAAGAGUGAAAAAUAAUUAUGGGUAGUUUUAUUUAAUUUAAUUUUUUUUAAAAAGGUAACUUUUUACGUAGGUGGUUUUUUUUAAAUAUAUAUAUAUUAAAAAUAAAAGACAUAAAUAAGGUGAUAAUAUUAUUAAUUAAUUUAUAAAAAAUGAGUUUAAAUAAAUUCCCAAUUGAGUUGCUAGAGCUGUCAAAUAAUUUAUAUAUGUUUAGAUUAUGUGAUAUUAUUUAUGUCUUAUUUUUACCAUAUUUUUGUAGUAUAUCUCCAUUUAAGGCAAAAUUUUGUUAAAAUAAAAUUUAUAUAAGGAAAUUAAUUAAUAAAAUGAUAAGUUUGAACAUUUGAAAUUGGAAAUUGAUGAUACGUUUAUAGAAAUUAGUGCUCGGGAGGAUGACGUAUAAGCAGUUGAGCAAUAUAUGUAAAUAUGAGGAAUUGGAGCAGAAUCAAACGUCAUCACAUCAUCCCUUACCUAUUUGCUCCCCAAAUUUGGCUGUAAUUGUUAUCUUGGAAUGUGAAAGUUUGAAAUAUCUCUUUCCAAUUACUAUUGCUCAUGCCGACCCUAAAAUGCUAAAUGUGCCCAAUUUACAAACGCUAAAGAUAGAGAAGUGCUUUGGAUUGGAAGAAAUAAUCUAAGACCCUCAAAUAUCAAUCAUAAGCUUUCAGCGCUUAAGGAAGUACAAGUUACAGAAUGUAAUAAUUUGAAAUAUCUCUUUCCAAUGCCUGCUUCUAAUAACCUUAGGCAAUUACAAACCCUGAAGAUAGAGAGGUGCUUUGGAUUGAAAGAAAUAAUCUAAGACUCACAAAUAUCAAACAUAAGCUUUCAAUGCCUAAGAGAAGUACAAGUUACAGGCUGCAAUAAUUUGAAAUAUCUCUUUCCAAUGUGUGUUGUUAAUAGUCUUGGACAAUUGCAGACUCCAAAAAGAGAGGUGCUCCCUAUUGCAAGAAAUAAUCCAAGGACCAGAAGUGUCAAUCUCAAUGACUCAUGGCCUACCACUAUUGAAUGAAGUUGCGUUGGAUAAUUUGCCUCAAUUGAAAGGAGGGAAUAGAAACGACAUUGUGCUCGCAUCACCAUCUUUGCACAAGUUAAAAGUGAUGGGUUGUCCUCAAUUGACACAUUUUAUCAUUUCAACUAAUAUACAUGUAAGAUAUUCUUAUAUAUAUAUAUUAUUUAUUUAAUUCUUCAUCUUUUUGAUAAUUUGUUGUUUAAAAUAAGUAAAUGCUUGUAAAACUCUUUAAAAGAUAGUUUUCAUUUUAGAAUUUUGGUUUAGAAUUAUGGAUAUAAUCUUUCAAGUCUGAAGAUCUUAAACUUGUCCACACUAAUUGAAUUGCAAGUGAUAUGGAAUGGUCCCAUCCAAGUUGGAAACUAUCAAAAUCUCACUGAAUUGGAUGUCAAAGAUUGCAAAAGGUUAAGAUACAUCUUCCCACUUACCAUGGCUCGAAAUUUGCCACAAUUAUGGAGGUUGGAUAUAUCUGACUGCGAGGAAUUGGAGCAAAUAAUCGAGUAGGAUCGAACUUCAUCACAACUUCAUCUCCAAGCUGUUUGCUUUCCAAAUCUGAUUUGGAUUACAAUUAGGAACUGUGAAAAUUUGAAAUGUCUCUUCCCAAUUACUCUUGGUCAUAGCAGCCUUCAAAAACUGGAAAAUAUAAUCUUUGGGAGGGUUUCCAAAUUAGAACAGGUGUUUGAAGGAGAUGAGCCAAAUGUGAGUAAGGAGGAAGAGAAAGUGAUACACCUCCUUCGAUUAACCGACUUACAGCUUGAUGGGCUACCAAACCUCGUGAGCUUCGGCGCUGUGGGUUAUCAUUUUGUUUUCCAAUCUUUGUUGAUUUUGCGAGUAGUAGAUUGUCCCAACAUAACCACAAGAUUUAGUUUUGAUUCGGAGAAAUCAGUGCAUGCCAAAACACAGGUACACUACUCUUCCAAACUCAAUAAUAAGCUUUAAAACAAAAUUGAUAUGUUGGCUGACAAUAUUUUCAGUUUUGGAAAAGUGUCUUUGCUUUCUUCAUCAUCAAUCAUCAGAAGCAAACAGUAAUAAAUCAAGGUUUAAUUUGUUUUGCAGGCAUGCCACUUAGUUGAUGAAAUUAUAGUGGAGGAAUCUGCUACAGCCCAAGAAACUAGAUGGCCAAUUGGUAGUGAUAUACAUUGGUUGAAACAUAUUUAAAGAUGGUGGAAUGAAAAAGUCACUGCUCUAGUAGAGCUUUCUGAAUAGGAAAAUGAAUGGAGAAGUAAAUGAAGUCAGUUCUAUUUAAGGAGUUAAUUUCAAAACUCAUCAUUGUGAAUGUUUAAAUUGAAUGCCAUUUAUCCGUUAAGUCAUACAUACCACCUACUUUUUCUUUUUCUUGUGAGAGAAGACAAAAUUAUUGAGCUGUAAGAAAAGAACAAAGUGAUGCAUAUGUGAAUUCUGCUAAUUAAUCUGAAAUUUAUUGAGCUGUAAGAAAAGAACAAAGUGACGCAUAUGUCUUACCCUUCAGCAUCUGAAUAAUAUAUACUUAUCUAGAAAUAAAUAUCAACUUUAAUAAAAGCAGUACAAAAAUGGUAGCCAUAUAAACUCUUAUCAUAUAAUUUUAAUUUAUGAAACUCCUUGAUUUUGAUAUUAAAAUAAAAUUAAUUUUAAAUUUUAAGUUAAUUUACAUUUUAUGCAAAGGUGAAUUCGGAGGAAAUAGUUUAAAUAUAGAUGAACUUUCCAUCCCACCGAUAGCCAUUGUCUUUACAAAACAAUUGCCCCCACCCCACUAACCCAACGUUGGAUGGGACCUCAGCAAUCUCCGUAAACUCCAGGGGCGUAUUAGGGUUUCCGCGUUAUUUAAAUUGGAGAAUUUUCUAUUUAGUUGUUUUAAAAUUUUAAAUUAAUAAAAGUAGAAAUAUAUUUUUUUAUUUUUAAAAUAAUUAAAUUUUAAUUUAACCCUAUAAAAUUUAUAAAAAUAUAAAUUAUUUAAAUAAUAAAAUUAUAUUUUUAUUAUUAUAAAAAUUAUAAUUUAAUUUCAACCAUCUAAAAAAUUUUCUGACUUUAUCGACCAUAAAGUCAAUUGUCGAUCUCUGCAAGUUUCUCAGUUUUUUAUAAAAUUGAUGCAAUUGCAGUGAGAGAUAGCUUCUCAAAUUUCAAGAAUAAAAGUAUUCAGAUCGUGAAUGAUAAUUUUGUAACUUAGCUUUUUAAAAGUGAUGCAUUAAUUAUAUAUUAUAUAUAUUAACUCAUAACUAAAUAAUAAUAGUUAACAUAUUUUCAACUUUUGUUAAAGCUCAAUUUUGUUGAAGAUGUCCAAAUCCACAAUUUCAACAUUGGAAUUUUUUAACUAAGGUGUACUCAGUUCAUUUAUAUUCACGAACAAACUUGUUUAUUGACUUGUUUAUAAGUUCGUUUAUUCAAUCGUUUAAUUAUUAAUGAUAUUUUCUUAUAAAAAUAUAAAGCUGAAAAUGAACAAAGCAUUCGAUGAACAUGUUUGUGUAUAUGUGUUUGUAUUUAUUAUUUGUUUGUUUGUUUGUUUGCUUGUUUAUUAUUUAUUAACAUUGUUCGUUCAAUUAUAUGCUAACGAACAUGUUUGUUUAAUGUUUGUGAACAUGUUUGAUUAAAUUAAAUGAACAUGUUUGUGAAUAUUAAACAAAUGAACAUGAACACACAUACUUUUAAAUAAAUGAACAUAAACAAAAAUUUGAAAUUCUUAACGAGCACAAAUUACAAACUUAAAAUAAACAAACGAACAUGAACAAAGAUUUGUUCGUUUAAACACGGUUCAUUUACAACCCUAAUUGGAAACAGUUUCCAAUGAAAGAAAUCAAUUAUUGAAAUUUGAAGGAAAAUAUGAGAGCAUAGAUUUAAUAUUUUCCAAUUGUGCUUAAAAGCUGGAGAAAAAAUAUAACCCAAAGACUUUCAUUUUUUUUGUAAAAAAGGAAAAAGCAUGGGGACAUUUUGUCAAAAAGGAAAAAGCAUGGGGACAUUUUUUUAAAAGGGAAAAAGCUGUAACACCCCAAACCCGGCCUAAACGUUAUGGCCAAGUCUGGCGAUGUCACAAGGAUGAGAUUUUGAAAAUAAAGCUAACUCGAUAAAAACCUUAAGCUUAUAAACCCUUAAUUGCUUUCAUUUAUUUCAAAACUUUUCAAUAGUCGUCUUGCCUUAAAACGUAUCAUUUUAGUAGAAGCUUAGGAAAAUCAUCGUGUUUAAGGAAGACAGUUCGCAUUUUUAGAAAAUCUUUUUUUUUAGGUAAAACCAUCAUAGUAAUAAGCAAGUUAAAUCCAAAAACCUAAAACCAAAACCAAACAGUUUAAAAGAGUCCAGAGAGUCCUAGAAAAUACACCCUUUCAAAUCUCAAUGUCAAAACUUAAAUAAAACCAUAAAACAAAAUAAAACCGUAAUAACGAGUGGUCACCGUCGAGUCCUCUACUGCACCGAUCCACCUAACUCUGUGGAUUACUUGUUCAGAACAAACAGAAAAAGGGUGAGUUUACGAAACUCAGUAAGUAACCCAGCAGAAUUAGACAUACAGUCAUACAAAUUAUCAAACAUCAGACAGAUGCAAAUUAGGGCCCACUCCCAUCUUAGAUACAGAUAUAGAUGUGCAAAUUAGAAUCAGAAAUAAAAAAUCCUACCCCCAUCCUCUAUACACCAUCUCCGACCAUCCCUACACACCAUGUGGAGUUAAAAACACCCACCCAGCCCUACACACCAAAUAGUACCGAUGUGGCCCAUAACAGAUAUAAUGCAGCCAUGCUGCCAGAUAUUAGGCACAAAUUGACUUUCAAAAUACUUCAUCUAGUCCCUAAUAUUAGGUACAGAAAGAUACAAUUACAGAUAAAUAGAAUAACAUACUUAGAUGCUUACAUAUAAGCGUAUAUAGAUAACAAAUAUGCGGAUAAUAAUGCAAGAAAACAUGCAUCAAUCUCCUAAUCAGAUCACAAUAUCAAACGAUUAGAUCAUACAAUUUAAUGUUUAUUUAGACCUUACCGAUCCUACAGCAAACCCACAGUCGUUUGGGACGACCCGUGUAACCCUAAGGAAAAACUCAUAUUAAUGGGCCAACACGUCCAAAUUGGCCUGGCCCGUGUGGAUCACACGGCCUAGCCCAUAAAUCCACAUACCCCUGUGGACUGCCCGUAUGGGCUCACACGCCCAUGUGUCCCACAUGGCUCAAUUUGGUCAAGUCCAUGUAGCUCACACGGCUACACCUCGGCCACCACACGGUCGUGUCUAGCGCACGACCUCACCUUCAUCAACCACAUGGCCUGCCACAUGCCCGUGUGAUGUCGACAGUGGCCUUUUCAGCUUUCAUUGAAACUCAUUUUCUAUAUUUCGAGUACACACCUGGUAUUGUUUUGCAGCGAAAGCACUCCCGAGCUUCCCAAAACCUAAAACCAGAAUAUCCAAUUUCGAUUUAGCAAUUGAUUAAUGGAUUUCGACAAUAAUAAGUUAACAGAAACCCAAGUUACCACCGACGAAAAACCUUCGUUAACACUUGUUAAACCAAAUAAAUGAAUUUUUCUACACUUGUUAAACCAAAGAAAUGAAUUUUUCUACUCGAAACCUUCUCCUACACUAUCAAUUGCAGUAAAAAUCAGAUUCUUAAUUACUUAUUACACAACUAUGACGAACUGAAAUAGAAAACUUACCGAACCCAUACAAGUGUAAUUUCCGUUGUUAAAAGAAAAAACGAAUUAGGGAAACAAAAGGAAAAGGAAGAGAGAAAGUUCCAAGAGAAUUUUGGCAGAGUGAUGGGGGAAACCGAACGUCAGAAAGAGAGGGAUUUUUGAAAAAGAAAAAAAAUACCCCAGACAUGUUAACAAAACCCAAAUCCCUUAGAUUUCUCCCCACUAACCCACUAACACCCAACUUAUCAGAAUUCACAUUCCACCGAAACACUGACACAAAAUCGAGCAAAAAAAUAUCACUCACGCUCGUGCAGGGAUUCGAACACAGGACCUCCAAUACACAGACUCCCUUACCACUCGAACCAGCAGGCUCAUUCUGACAUGGUUUUGAAAAUUAAAUAUAAGCCUACUGAGCAAGGAUAGGUCUUAAGUCAGAAAAAUACCAAAAUUCACCAAAGGUAAGGCAAGGCUUAAACUUGGGACCACUCACACACACUCAGAACACUUAACCACUGAAGCGGAUACAUAUUUGUAUGAAAUAUUCACAGGUACAGAAACAUAAAACUUGAGGCGUUACAACUUUACCUCCUAAAAGAAAUUUCGACCUCAAAAUUUACCUAUUUAGAAUAGAUGAGGAUACUGCUGCAGCAUCGAAUCCUCCAAUUUCCACGUGGCUUUCUCGGUGCCAUGAUUCUGCCAUAGAACCUUCACUAAAGGUAUGGACUUCCUCCUCAGAAUCCUAACAUCUCAAUCCAGAAUUUGAACCAGUUUCUUCUUAAAAGUCAAAUCCAAUCUAACUUCAAUCUCCCCAACAGACACAACAUGAGAUAGGUCAGACCGGUAUUUCCUCAGCAUUGAUACGUGGAACACAUCGUGAAUACGGUCUAUCUCUAGAGGUAGCUCCAACUGGUAAACAACUGGCCUUACUCGCUUCAAAAUUCAAUAUAGUCCAAUAAACCUAGGGCUUAACUUGCACUUACGACUUAACCUCAGAACUUUCUUCCAUGGAGAGUCCUUAAGGAAUACAAAAUCCUCUACAGAGUACUCAAUCUCACAUCUCUUCAGAUCUACAUAUGAUUUUUGCCUAUCAGAAGCCACUUUUAGACGAUCCUGAAUCAGUCAAACGUUAUCCUCUGUAUUAGAAACUAGUUCAGGACCCAAAAUUCGACGUUCACCCAACUCAAUCCAACAUAGUGGAGUACAAUACUUACGACCAUAUAGAGCCUUAUAAGGUGCCAUCUGGAUGCUAGGCUGAAAAUUGUUAUUGUAGGCGAACUCGGCUAGCGGCAGAUAGUCCUCUCAACUACCUCAGAAAUCGAUCACACAACUCCGAAGCAUAUCCUCCAGUAUCUGAAUCACCCUCUCAGAUUGUAACACCCCAAAACCGUGGCCGUCACCGGGAUCGAACACGAGGUGUAAUCUGGCUUUUCAUCACUUAUACAGCUCAAACAAUUUAUUUUAAAACUCCUAGAUAAACUGUCAAUCUGUGUUAUAGUCACUUAAAAAUUUGUAUCUUGAGUUCUGAAACUCGAAAUUUAAUUCCGUAAAUUUUUCCUGAAACUAGACUCAUAUAUCUAUCUAUUAAAAUUUUUCCACAAUUUUUAGUCAGUCCAAUUAAUACAGUUUAUUAGUUAAAGUCUCCCCUGUUUCAGGGUUCGACUACUCUGACCUCUUUGUAUUACGAACCAGAUAUCCCUCUGUACAGAGAUUCAAUGACUAUGUCGUUUGUCCCUAAUAAAACUAGACUCAAUAAGGAAUCUUUACAUAUAAGUUAUGACUUCUAAUUAUCUUUUUAGAAUUUAUGGUGAAUUUCCAAAUUCGGAACAGGGGAUCCAGAAAUCGUUCUGACCCUGUUUCACUAGAUUUUAAAUAUCUCAUACAAUAUAGCUCAUAUUCUUGUUUUACUUCUUCCAUGUGAAAAUAGACUCAUCAAGAUUCGAUUCCAUAAUUUAUUCAUUAUUUAAUUCCAUUUCUACUAUUUUUAGUGAUUUUUCAAUUUCACAUCACUACUGCUGUCUGCAUCUAUUAUUAGAGUAAAUUUUACCUAUUAGAGUAAUUUAACAAACAUAUCACCAAGUAUGAUCAUGACUAGCCAUACCAAAGGCUAAUCAUUACCAAGCAUUUCCUUACUACUCAAUAACUAUAUCGUGAGUGUAACACCGGAAAUGAUUAGCCAUGACAAACGGCAUAAUAAUCAAAUAGACUUUAACUAUUGCUUAUAACUAAGUAUCAUAAGACCAAAUCCAACUUAACAUUUAUGCCAUUUUCGCAUGGCAAAAAGUAUACAUACCAAAGUUCAAACAAACAUAAUAGCCUAUACAUACCGAAAUGUUCUCUUAGACCAACUAAGAAGAAGAUACCAAAAAGUUGCAAGCUGGUGUAAUGACUUCGACGAUGGUCUCGAGCACACAAAAAUGGAUCAAAGGAACCUAAAUAAGUGACAAAUAAACACACCGAAUGAGUAUAUAACUCAGUAAGUCAUAAGCAUUACACUGCUGUCCAUUUAUAAAAUAUCAUAAAAGAAAAUAAAUAAUGCAAGAUUAGGUACUCCAUCCAUACCGACUAUGCUAUAAUUUCACGCACAUUUAUCAUUACAUGCUCUCAACUAGCCAAGCCUCCAUUGACAUCUCGUAUGAUAUUCGAUAUGAUAUUUGAUGCAUUUCCACACAUCAUUUUAUUUUCGUUUAGAUUAUACUAAUAAUAGCAUUUCAUCUAUUCCACAAUAAUCUUAUGUUCCUAACUUCAAAUAUAAUCACCACAUAGGUUCAAGACUUACCAAGCUCAGUUCCAAAUAUAAACAUAACGUCUAUUCCUUAUGAACUCAAAAUAUCUACUCAUUCCGCUGUCCAUGAUUUACUCGAUAAAGUUGCACACUUAAUGUUAAUAAUUAUUCGAAAAUAUAUAGUAAGUCCGCACACUUAGUGCUUAAUAGUCAAACUCGCACACUUAGUGCUAUACAAUUAAACUCGCACACUUAGUGCCAAUCUCAUUAUCGUAAAUGUUUAUACCCGCACACUUAGUGCCGAAAUCAACAACUCAAUACAUCUCACUUCUUUUUACAAUCGAUAAUUUUGUCACUACAUGCAUUUAUAUAUCAUCCCAUUCGGCAUAAGUACAUAAGUUUAUGAUUAUUUAAAUCAAUACAAAAUAUAUGCUUAAUAACUUACCUUGUGUUGGGUAAAACGGUUCUAACUCGGCUACUCGAUGUUCUUUCCUUUGCCUUUGCUUGAUUCUCCUCCUUUAACUUCUUGAGCUUAAUCAAUAAAUUAACUAGUUUAACCGUCUUGCUAAAUAUUUAUAUCAAAAUAUUAAUGAUUUCAUAUCAUAGGAGAUACAUGACUAAUUCUUAUCUUCCUACCAUAUGUUUUUGAGCUAUUCGGCUAAUAACCAUAUGCUAUCACCCUACUAUCAAUAAUCCAAUCACACAUGCAUAUAUAUAUAUGGUCGAAUGUGCAAAGCUUAGACUCAACAUCACCUAUGCUCUUAAUUUGAUGGCCGAAUAUGCAUACAUAUAUAUAUGAUAUCAACUAUACUAUCAUCUUUAAUUCACCUAAACACAAAAUUUCAUCUCAUGAACACUUGACCGAAUUUUUCCUAAUCUAGCAUGGCUUCACAUCUAUUUGUAACAUCCUAUAAAUCCACAUAUACCACAUUUCUACAUAAAUUUUCUUUUACUUUUCCACUACUUCCAUUCACAACAUCAAAAGCACCAUACACUUAGCAUUUACCUCUUCCUAACCAUAUGCCAUCUAAGUACCCUUUUAGGUAGAAAAUUAACAUAUGGGUUGUAAUAAGACAUUGGCUACUAACUAGAUUUUCACAAGAAUUUAGUAAAAGUAACAUAAAUCCUACCUUAAUCAACCCCUUUUGAGUUGGCCGAAUGUCUAGAGCAUUUCUUCUUUCCUUCUCCUAACUCACGGCAAUUGCAAGAAAAGAAAGAAGAUGAAUACUCCCUCUUCCUUCCUUAUUUUAUUCAUCUUUUCUUUUUAAUUCCUUUCUUUAAUUUAUUUUAAUUGCUAACUAAUAAAAGAAUUGCAUUGAAAUUCAACCUAGUGGAUGGGCAUCAUGGCUUGGCCGGCCACUACUUGGGUUUUUGGGCAAUUUGACAUGCAAACCCAAGUUUCCUCACUUUGUUAUUAUUUGGUCCUUACAUAUCCCCCUAUCAUAUUUUCUUAAGUUCUCAACUAAGUCAAUCACAUGAAAUUCACAUUCAUAAGUCUAAAUUAAAACAUCAAAUUUUCACACAUGCACUAAUACUCAUAGAGGAUAUGCAACCAAAUUUUUAAAUAAAUUUUGGGACUCGGUAUUGUGGCCUCAAAACCACAUUCCGACUAGGGUCGAAUUAGGACUGUCACAACUCUCCCUCACUCAAAAAUUUUCGUCCCCGAAAAUCUUACCAGCGAAUAAAUUAGGAUAACGUUCUUUCACCGAAUCCUCGAGCUCCCAAGUAGCUUCUUCGACCCCAUGUUUAUGCCACAGUACCUUCACUAAUGGGAUUUUCUUAUUUCGCAAUUCUUUUACUUCACGUGUUAGAAUGCAAACCGGUUCUUCCUCGUAACUCAAAUCCGAUUGAAUUUCGAUCUCAGUUGGAGUAAUUAUGUGUGAUGGAUCGGACCUAUAUCGUCGAAGCAUCGAGACAUGAAAAACGUUAUGAAUCUUUUCAAGUUCGGGGGGUAAAAUCAAUCUAUAUGCAACUAGAUCAACUCGUUCGGAUAUUUCAUACGGCCCAAUGAACCUCGGACUCAAUUUGCCCUUACGGCCAAAUCUGAGUAUCUUCUUCCAAGGCGAAACUUUUAGAAACACUUUAUCUCCCACCUGAUACUCAAUGUCUUUUCGUUUUAAAUCCGCGUACGACUUCUGACGAUCUGAUGCUGCCUUCAGACUUUCACGAAUUAUUUUUACUUUCUGCUCAGCAUCUUUAAUCAAAUCGACUCCGAAAAUUUUACUUUCACCGAGCUCGGUCCAAAACAAUGGUGUACGGCAUUUACGACCGUACAAAGCCUCGUAAGGUGCCAUCUUAAUGCUUGAUUGAAAACUAUUGUUGUACGCGAAUUCAAUCAAAGGUAAAUACCGUUCCCAUGAACCACUAAACUCAAGGAUGCAACAUCUCAACAUAUCCUCGAGUAUCUGAAUUAUCUGUUCGGAUUAACCAUCAGUCUGUGGAUGAAAAGCGGUGCUAAAAUGCAACUUGGUACCCAAAGCUUCUUGCAAUUUCUUCCAAAAUCGUGAGGUGAAUCUCGAAUCUCUAUCCGACACAAUAGAAAUAGGUACCCCGUGAAAUCUUACAAUCUGAGAGACAUACAAUUCUGCCAAUUUAUCAAGCGAAAAAUCUGUACGGACAGGGAUAAAAUGAGCAGUCUUUGUCAAUCUAUCAACGAUAACCCAAACCGAGUCUUUCUUUUUUUGUGUCAAUGGUAAACCAGAUACAAAAUCCAUUGUUACCCGAUCCCAUUUCCAUUUGGGUAUCAUGAUUGGCUGAAGUAAUCCCGAAGGCACUUGAUGUUCCGCUUUCACUUGUUGACAUAUCAAACACUUCAACACAAAGUCAGAGAUGUCUCGUUUCAUACCAGACCACCAAAACUGACAUUUCAAAUCAUUGUACAUUUUUGUGCUACCCGGGUGGAUAGACAUUCGUCUAUUAUGAGCCUCAUUCAAAAUCAUCAAAAUAAGUUCCGAAUUUCUUGGAACACAUAAUCGACCUUUGAAUGUCAAGCAAUCAUUGUCGUCAAUCCGAAACUCCGAUUCCUCAUUCGAAGCACAUUCAGCUCGUUUAGCAACCAAUUCAUUGUCGACUUUCUGGGAUUCAAAUAUUUGACGAAUCCAUAAUGGUUUGGCCUUUAAUUCAGCUACUAGCACAUUUUCGGGUGAGACGGACAGGUGAACAUUCAUCGCUCUCAAAGCAAAUAACACUUUACGACUUAAAGCAUCGGCAACCACGUUUGCUUUGCCCGGGUGAUAAUCAAUGAUAAGUUCAUAAUCUUUCAACAAUUCAAGCCAGCGUCUUUGUCGCAGAUUCAGAUCUCUUUGAGUCAUCAAGUAUUUAAGACUUUUGUGGUCUGAGUAAAUAUGACACAUUUCUCCAAACAAGUAAUGUCGCCAUAUUUUCAAGGCGAACACUAUGGCCGCUAAUUCAAGAUCAUGGGUCGGAUAGUUUCUCUCAUGUGGCUUUAAUUGUCUCGACGCGUAAGCCACAACUCGACCUUCUUGCAUCAACACACACCCUAGCCCAAGCAAAGAUGCAUCACUAUAAAUGACAAACUCUUUACCGGACUCCGGCUGUACUAGUACUGGAGCUUCAGUUAAACAGGUUUUUAGUCGAUUGAAACUUUCCUGACAGCUUCCUGACCAUUCAAACUCAACAUCUUUUUGAAGUAGUUUCGUCAACGGUGCAGCUAUCAUCGAAAAACCUUUUACAAACCGUCGGUAGUAUCCGGCAAGUCCCAAAAAGCUCCUAACUUCAAUAACAUUCCUCGGAGGUUUCCAAUCGAGUAUGGCCGAAAUUUUGUUCGGAUCAACUCUAAUUCCCGAUGCGGAUACGACGUGCCCCAAAAAGCUAACCUCUCUCAACCAAAAUUCGCAUUUACUGAAUUUCACGUAUAACUACUUGUCUCGUAAAAUCUGUAAUACUAAUCUCAAAUGCUCGGCAUGUUCAGCUUCAUCUUGGGAAUAAAUUAAAAUAUCAUCAACAAACACAACCACAAACUGAUCCAAGUAUUGUCUGAAAAUUCGAUUCAUUAAAUCCAUGAAUAUCGCAGGGGCAUUAGUAAGCCCAAACGGCAUCACUAAGAAUUCGUAGUGACCAUAUCUCAUUCUAAAAGCAGUUUUGGGUAUGUCUGAGUCUCUAACUCUCAACUGAUAAUAACCCGACCUCAAAUCUAUCUUUGAAAACACUGAGGCUCCCUUCAAUUGAUCAAACAAAUCAUCAAUACGCGGUAACGGAUAUUUAUUCUUUAUUGUUACUUUAUUCAACUGACGAUAGUCGAUGCACAACCUCAUGGUUCCAUCCUUCUUUUUCACAAACAAUGUUGGUGCACCCCAUGGUGAAAAACUCGGUCGAGCAAAACCUCUAUCCGUCAAUUCUUGUAACUGAAUUUUCAAUUCCUUUAAUUCCGUUAAUGCCAUACGAUACGGGGUUAUCGAGAUUGGCGUGGUACCAGGUACAAGUUUGAUGCCAAAUUCUACCUCUCGAAUAGCUGGCAACCCCGGUAACUCCUCAGGAAAAACAUCUGAAUACUCGCAAACCACCGGUACCGAUCUGAGUUUCCUUUCCGUCUCUUUGCUAUCAAAUACAUACACAAGAUAUGUUUCACACCCCUUCCUCACAUAUCUCCGAAUGAUCAUCGAGGAUAUUGUUGCUGGCACUCCCCUUAAAUCAGUAGACUCAACUCGGACUAUCUCAUUAUUUGCACCCCUUAAAUCAAUGGUUUUUCUUUUGCAACUCACCACUGUGUCAUAUAUGGUCAACCAGUCCAUACCAAGAAUAACAUCAAAUUCAUCAAAUGGUAAAAGCAUCAAAUCGGCCGGAAAACAGGAUUCUCGGAUCAUUAGAGGGCAUCUCUUACACACUUUGUCAACAAGCGCAUAUUGACCCAAGGGAUUUGACACUCGAAUUACGAACUCAGUAGACUCAAUAGGCAGAGUCUUACUGGAUGCUAAAGUCUCACAUAUAUAAGAAUGAGUAGAGCCAGGGUCAAUUAAUGCAAUUACAUUAGUAUCAAAAAGAGUGAAAGUACCAGUGAUAACAUCAGGGGAGGAUGCUUCCUCUCGUGCACGGAUGGCAUAUGCCCUAGCAAGAGUACGGGUCUCAGAUCGAACAGCCGUAUCAAAAGUCCCUCUCUGACCACCACCCCUGCCUCCUGAAAUUCUCGGUGGUCUACCCAUAACCGUUGUUCCACUAAGUCUUGCACCUUGCAUCUUAUUUCUCUCAUCGAAUUUCGUGCAAUCUCUAAUGAAGUGAUUCUUCGAACCGCAUCUGUAACAGGCCCUGUUAGUGGACUUACCCCAACAUUCACCUAUGUGUCAUCUUCCACAUUGUGGACAUUCAGGUUUUUCUUGGCGAUUGUUACCCACACUAGCAACCGAAGUAGCUCGUGAGUCUGUUAAUGGUUGUGUCCUAAUAAAAAUUCCCGCAGUCGUCUUCGGUUUGUGAGUGUCCUCCCUGAACUUCUUUAUAGCUGAGAACGGAGUUCUACUCGUUGAUCUUUUACGAAAGUCUCUAGCUUCAGAUUCUGCCUUCUUUUUCUCCUUUCCAAGUUCUUCCGCCUUGCAAGCUCGUUCAACUAGUGUUACAAAUUCUUUUAUCUCUAAAAUACCCACUAGUAGCUUUAAAUCUUUAUUCAAUCCUUCCUCAAAUCUUUUGCACAUAGCAAUUUCAUUGGCUACACACUCCCGAGCAUAUCGAAUGAGUCUUACAAACUCACGUUCGUAUUCAGAUACUGUCAUGCGGCCUUGCUUAAGUUCCAAGAAUUCCUUACGCUUUUGAUCGAUGAACCGUUGGCUAAUAUUUUUUUGAAACUCUGUUUGAAAAAAAUCCCAAGUAACUCGUUCCUUCGGGACUAUGGAAAUCAAGGUCCUCCACCAAUAGUAGGCUGAGUCUCGCAACAAAGAUAUAACACACUUUAAACACUCAUCAGGUGUGCAGGACAGUUCAUCAAAAACUCGGAUGGUGUUAUCAAGCCAGAACUCGGCCCUUUCAGCAUCAUCAGUAACUACGGCUCUGAAUUCCUCGGCCCCGCGCUUCCUAAUCAAGUCUACAGGUGGUUACUUGGCCUUACAGGAUCAGUAGUCGAUGGCAUUAUAGGCUCCUGGGGUGGAUUAUUUAAAUUCGGGAAUGGUUGGGCAGCCGGAUUAGUGCGGGCAUAUUGUGCGACCCACUCAUUCAUCAUAGUAAAGAAGGCUUGUUUUGCCCCCUCAUUUUGAUUAUUCGCAGAUGAUUGAGGUUCAACAGGCGGUGUCCCUUGCGCAGGAGCAGCCGCUACACUUUCAACGUCAUCCGCUAAGGUUCUCUCUACGCCGGGAUCCAUUUAAUAAUCAAAACAAAAAUUUUAGCCGUCAGAAGUCAUCACACUAUUAAACACUAACAUUAAGGCAUGUAUAGCUAGACUCAUACGCGCUAUGGUAGUCCUAGAACCGACUAAACCAUAGCUCUGAUACCAAUAAAAUAUAACACCCCAAAAUCGUGGCCGUCACCGAGAUCGAACACGAGGUGUAAUCUAGCUUAAUUCAUCACUUAUACAGCUCAAACAAUUUAUUUUAAAACUCCCAGAUAAACUGUCAAUCUGCGUUAUAGUCACUUAAAAAUUCGUAUAUUGAGUUCUGAAACUCGAAAUUUAAUUCCACAAUUUUUUCCUGAAACUAGACUCAUAUAUCUAUCUACCAAAAUUUUCCCACAAUUUUUGGUCCGUCCAAUUAAUACAGUUUAUUAGUUAAAGUCUCCCCUGUUUCAGGGUUCGACUACUCUGACCUCUUUGUAUUACGAACCAGAUAUCCCUCUGUACAGAGAUUCAACUACUAUGCCGUUUGUCCCUAAUAAAACUAGACUCAAUAAGAAAUCUUUAAAUAUAAGUUAUGACUUCUAAUUAUCUUUGUAGAAAUUAUGGUGAAUUUCCAAAUUCGGAACAGGGGAUCCAGAAAUCGUUCUGACCCUAUUUCACGAGAUUUUAAAUAUCUCAUACAAUAUAGCUCAUAUUCUUGUUUUACUUCUUCCAUGUGAAAAUAGACUCAUCAAGCUUCGAUUCCAUAAUUUAUUCAUUAUUUAAUUCCAUUUUUACUAUUUUUAGUGAUUUUUCAAUUUCACAUCACUACUGCUGUCUACAUCUAUUAUUAAAGUAAAUUUUACCUAUUAGAGUAAUUUAACAAACAUAUCACCAAGUAUGAUCAUGACUAGCCAUACCAAAGGCUAAUCAUUACCAAGCAUUUCCUUACUACUCAAUAACCAUAUCGUGAGUGUAACACUGGAAAUGAUUAGCCAUGACAAACGGCAUAAUAAUCAAAUAGACUUUAACUAUUGCUUAUAACUAAGUAUCAUAAGACCAAAUCCAACUUAACAUUUAUGCCAUUUUCGCAUGGCUAAAAGUAUACAUACCAAAGUUCAAACAAAACAUAAUAGCCUAUACAUGCCGAAAUGUUCUCUUAGACCAACUAAGAAGAAGAUACCAAAAAGUUGCAAGCUGGUGUGAUGACUUCGACGAUGGUCCCGAGCACACAAAAAUGGAUCAAAGGAACCUAAAUAAGUGACAAAUAAACACACCGAAUGAGUAUAUAACUCAGUAAGUCAUAAGCAUUACACUGCUGUCCAUUUAUAAAAUAUCAUAAAAGAAAACAAAUAAUGCAAGAUUAGGUACUCCAUCCAUACCGACUAUGCUAUAAUUUCACGCACAUUUAUCAUUACAUGCUCUCAACUAGCCAAGCCUCUAUUGACAUCUCGUAUGAUAUUCGAUAUGAUAUUUGAUGCAUUUCCACACAUCAUUUUAUUUUCGUUUAGAUUAUACUAAUAAUAGCAUUUCAUCUAUUCCACAAUAAUCUUAUGUUCCUAACUUCAAAUAUAAUCACCACAUAGGUUCAAGAUUUACCAAGCUCAGUUCCAAAUAUAAACAUAACGUCUAUUCCUUAUGAACUCAAAAUAUCUACUCAUUCCGCUGUCCAUGAUUUACUCGAUAUAGUCGCACACUUAAUGUUAAUAAUUAUUCGAAAAUAUAUAGUAAGUCCGCACACUUAGUGCUUAAUAGUCAAACUCGCACACUUAGUGCUAUACAAUUAAACUCGCACACUUAGUGCCAAUCUCAUUAUCGUAAAUGUUUAUACCCGCACACUUAGUGCCGAAAUCAACAACUCAAUACAUCUCACUUCUUCUUACAAUCGAUAAUUUUGUCACUACAUGCAUUUAUAUAUCAUCCCAUUCGGCAUAAGUACAUAAGUUUAUGAUUAUUUAAAUCAAUACAAAAUAUAUGCUUAAUAACUUACCUUGUGUUGGGUAAAGCGGUUCCAACUCGGCUACUCGAUGUUCUUUCCUUUGCCUUUGCUUGAUUCUCCUCCUUUAACUUCUUGAGCUUAAUCAAUAAAUUAACUAGUUUAAUCAUCUUGCUAAAUAUUUAUAUCAAAAUAUUAAUGAUUUCAUAUCAUAGGAGAUACAUGACUAAUUCUUAUCUUCCUACCAUAUGUUUUUGAGCUAUUCGGCUAAUAACCAUAUGCUAUCACCCUACUAUCAAUAAUCCAAUCACACAUGCAUAUAUAUAUAUGGCCGAAUGUGCAAAGCUUAGACUCAACAUCACCUAUGCUCUUAAUUUGAUGGCCGAAUAUGCAUACAUAUAUAUAUGAUAUCAACUAUACUAUCAUCUUUAAUUCACAUAAACACAAAAUUUCAUCUCAUGAACACUUGACCGAAUUUUUCCUAAUCUAGCAUGGCUUCACAUCUAUUUGUAACAUCCUAUAAAUCCACAUAUACCACAUUUCUACAUAAAUUUUCUUUUACUUUUCCACUACUUCCAUUCACAACAUCAAAAGCACCAUACACUUAGCAUUUACCUCUUCCUAACCAUAUGCCAUCUAAGUACCCUUUUAGGUAGAAAAUUAACAUAUGGGUUGUAAUAAGACAUUGGCUACUAACUAGAUUUUCACAAGAAUUUAGUAAAAGUAACAUAAAUCCUACCUUAAUCAACCCCUUUUGAGUUGGCCGAAUGUCUAGAGCAUUUCUUCUUUCCUUCUCCUAACUCACGGCAAUUGCAAGAAAAGAAAGAAGAUGAAUACUCCCUCUUCCUUCCUAAUUUUAUUCAUCUUUUCUUUUUAAUUCCUUUCUUUAAUUUAUUUUAAUUGCUAACUAAUAAAAGAAUUGCAUUGAAAUUCAACCUAGUGGAUGGGCAUCAUGGCUUGGCCGGCCACUACUUGGGUUUUUGGGCAAUUUGACAUGCAAACCCAAGUUUCCUCACUUUGUUAUUAUUUGGUCCUUACAUAUCCCCCUAUCAUAUUUUUUAAAGUUCUCAACUAAGUCAAUCACAUGAAAUUCACAUUCAUAAGUCUAAAUUAAAACAUCAAAUUUUCACACAUGCACUAAUACUCAUAGAGGAUAUGCAACCAAAUUUUUAAAUAAAUUUUGGGACUCGGACUUGUGGCCUCGACACUGGAACCCUAUGCAGUCUAACUAUCUUGAUGAUAUACAACUUUGCCAACUUCUAAAGAGAAAAUUCCAUUAGAACCGGAAUGAAUUGAGCAGACUUGGUCAAUCUAUCCACGAUGACCCAAACAGAAUCCUUCUUAGUGGGUGUUAAAGGUUACCCACUAACGAAGUCCAUCGUUACUUGCUCCUAUUUCCAUAAAAAAAUCUUAACUGGCUGCAACAAACCCAAAGGCAACUGAUGCUUAGCCUUAACCUGCUCACAAGUCAAACAACGAGUAACAAAAUCGGUAACCUCACGCUUCACUCCCGGCUACCAGUACAAUUCAAGAAGAUUGUGGUACAUCUUAUUACCGCUGGGAUGCAUAGCAUAAGAGCUACAAUGCGCCUCCCUUAGAAUAGACAGCCUCAGAUCAAAAUCGUUGGGUACACAGAUCCAUCCUGGAAAACAUAACACACCAUCAUUGUUUAUCCCAAAAUCAACAGUAGUACUAUUCUCAAUCUAUCGAAACUACAAGAUCAGAGACUUAUCCCUCAACUGCUUAUCCUGAAUCUGAUCAAUUCAAGUUAGCUUAACUUGUAACUUAGCUAACAGACUCCCAUCAUCAAACAGACUAAGGCGAGCAAACAUCGCCCUCAUAUUAGUCAUCACUUUAUGACUAAGAGCUCGGCCACCACAUUGGCCUUACCGGGAUGAUACUUAAUGGUGCAGUCAUAAUCUUUAAGCAACUCAAUCUAUUGCCACUGCCUAAGAUUCAACUCCUUUUGAGUAAAGAGAUAUUUUGAGGCUCUUGUGAUCGAUGUAGAUGAUACACCUCUCACCAUAUAGAUAAUGCCUCUAGAUUUUCAACACAAAGACCACGACAACCAAAUUGAGAUCAUGCAUCGAAUAGGUCCCUUCAUGUGUCUUAAGCUGAUGGAUACAUAAGCCACAACUUUACUAUCCUGCAUCAGAACGUAACCCAACCCAACGUGCAAAGCAUCACUGUAGACCACAAACUCCUUACCAGAUUCAGGUUGUACCAGAAUAGGAACCUAAGUCAGAAUAGACUAGAGCUUUUCAAAAUUCUCUUACCGUGAUCAAUCUAGACAAAAGGGACACUUUUAAGCAAAAGCUUAGUAAGAGGAGCUGUAAUCAAAGAGAACCCUUCGACAAACCACUGAUUAUAUUUCGCCAAACCCAGAAAGCUACGGAUCUCAGAUACAUUAUUAAGUUGUUUCCAAUCUAAAACAACCUCAAUCUUUCGAGUAUCAACACGAAUCCCCUCAGCAGAAACCACGUGCCCUAGAAAAGUUACUUCACGUAACCAGAACUCACACUUGCUUAACUUAGAGUAAAGCUGCUUCUCAUGCAAAAUCUGAGGCACUACUCUAAGAUGCUCAUCAUGCUCAUCUUCAAUCUUAGAGUAAACAAGAAUAUCAUCGAUGAAGACUACAACAAAUCGAUCCAAAUAAGGCUGAAACACUUGGUUCAUCAGAUCUAUAAAUACAGUCGGAGCAUUCGUCAGACCAAAAGGCAUAACUAGGAACUCGUAAUGUCCAUAACGUGUCUUAAAUGCAAUCUUAUGAACAUCAGCCUCCUUAACCCUCAACUGAUGAUACCUAGAUCGAAGAUCAAUCUUAGAUAACACAGAAGCCCCUUGGAACUGAUAAAACAGGUCGUCAAUCUUCAGAAGCGGAUACUUAUUCUCAACAGUCAGCUUAUUCAGCUGCUAAUAAUCAAUGCACAUUCUCAUGGUCUCAUCUUUCUUCUUAACAAACAAAACUGGUGCUCCCUACGGAGACACACUACGACGGAUGAAACCAUGAUCCAAAAGCUCUUGCAAUUGAACCUUAAGCUCAGUAAGCUCUUUUGGUGCCAUACUGUAGGGAGCGGUGGAUACUGGAGCUGUACCCGAAAGAAGCUCAAUCCUAAACUCAACCUCCUGAUUAAGAGGUAAACCUGAUAACUCCUCGGGAAAACAUCUAAAAAAUCUUUUACAGUUCUGAUAUUCCUAACAGAAGAGUUUUCAGAAUAAAAAAACACUAACGUAAGCCAAGUACGCCUCACACCCUUUCCGAACUAGUUUCUUAGCCAUAAGAAUGGAAAUCAUAUUAGACAGGUAAUCUUGACGCUCGCCAAUUACAACCACUUCUCUAUCAUCCUCAGUCCUUAGAACGGUCUUCUUAGUUGCAUAGUCCAAACUAACUCAGUACUUAACCAACUAAUCCAUGUCCAGGAUUAAGUCGAACUCCCUAAACAAAAGCUCCAUCAAAUUUGCCAGAAAUAUCUCCCCUUGCACCUUUAACGGGACAUCCUUAUACAGUUUACUAACCAGAACAGACUGGCCUAACGGACUUAUCACAGUAACCUCACUAGAAGUACUCUCAACGAAAAUCCUCAAGUUUUCAGAAAAUAAACUGGCUAUAUAGGAAUGAGUAAAUCCUAUGUUUAUCAGAGCAAUGUAAGGUACAUCUAAUAUAAAGAACAUACCAGUGAUGACGUCAAGAGCAUCUCUGUCCUCUAGGCGACGUACAACAUAAACUAAAGCAAGCUGCCUUGCCUCUGUCUAACUAGCACCUCUGCCAAGUGCUUUCUGUCCUCGGCCCAUACUAUUACCACCCCUAGCCAGACCACGACUCCUAGGUGGUUCCUGAACUACUUUCUGCGACUGCACGAGACCUGAUUCUAGAGCUUGCACCUGAUUAUCCCUUAAUGGAAACUCCCUAAUGCAGUACUCUAAUGACCUACACCUCAAACAAGCCCAAUCCUCCUCCAGCACUCACCCAAAUGGCAUCUCCCAUAACCUCCACAAGGCAGUAUCCUAGUAGAAGCAACAGGGGCUCCCACUCUAACUAGCCUAUCAGAUCUGGCAUUUUUCUUUGGCUUCUACAUAGAACUCGAGGGUUCCAGAUCUCUCUUGUUCUUACCUCUCUCCCUAUCUCUAUUCUGGCACUCCAUCUUUAGCGAUCUUUUCCUUUUCGACCAAAACAAAAAACUCGCGCUCCCUCUGUGGAGCUAUCAAAACUCUCAGAUUAUCCCCCAGCCCAUCCUCAAAAUGAACACACCUCUCAUAUUCCGAUGCCACCAUACCUUGAGCAUAGCGGCUCAGCUUCAGAAAUUCAGCCUCAUACUUGGCCAUAGAUCGGUCACCUUGCAUGAGGUUCAAGAACUCACACCUGCGAGCAUCAACGUAUCUAGCUCCCACAUACUUGCUCUAAAAUGUAGUCUUAAAGAAUUCCUAAGUCAGAUGAUCAGGCUGGGUGCCCUAGCUAACCGUCAACCACUAUUGGUAAGCCUUAUCGCGAAGCAAGGAGAUUGUACCCUUCAAUUUCUGCUCGAAUGUACAAUCCAGAUCAUCCAUAAUUCUCUCAGUGGCCUCUAACCAGUACUCGGCCACUUUAGGGGCGACUCCUAUGGCACCCCUAAAUAACUCAGCUCUAUUAGAUCAGAGUCAUUCAAUUACUGACCCUUGGCCCUUAGAUCCAGUAUUGGGCCCAACGACCCUCUCUAAUAUCCUCAGCAUGGCUUGAGAUAGUGUGUCAUCCUCAGCCGAACGACUCUGAGACCUAGUCUCAAUAGUAGGUGACACAAGUGUCUCACUAGUGUCCAAAUUUGGUAUGCUGCCCAGAGAUAAAGACUCAGCUCGAGCCCCCUAUGGCCUCUACCUCGGCCUCGAGUACCAUGUCCACAAAUACCUCAUACGCUCAUUGUAAUUUUGAAUUUUUAUCUAUAUUAAGAAUUUUAUGCAUCAAUUUCAAUUUUUAUUAACAAAUGUUUUAUGCAGAAAGUUUUAGAAGUUCAGAGUUAUUCGGAUGUUUCAGUCUCUAAAUGUUUCACUACAGUUUCAGAGAGUACUAACUAAUAGUGUUUUCAAAGUAACUAUUUAUAGUAUUUCAGAGUAAUCUAUCUAAGUUUCAGAAAACUUACAGAAUCGGCACCGGAGACUCGAUGUGCCACAUACUUAAUCAGAGUGUUUAAAAUCAUUUGAAAACCAAUUCUUUCAAACCAAAUUUUAGAACCCAAAAUUCACAACCGUGUUUUGCAACCUAGUUCUGAUAGCACUAAAUGUAAUACCCUAAACUCAACCUAGACGUUAUGGCCGAAUCUAGCGAUGUCACAUGGAAGGAAUUUUGAAAACGGAGCUAACUUGAUAAAAACCUUAAGCUUAUAAACCCUUAAUUGCUUUCAUUUAUUUCAAAAUAUAUAUUCAAUAGUCAUCUUGCCUUAAAAUGUAUAAUUUUAGCGGAAGCUUAGGAAAAUCGUCGUGUUUAAGGAAGACAGUUCGCAUUUUUAGAAAAUCUGUUUUUAGGUAAAACCAUCAUAGUAAUAAACAAGUUAAAUUUAAAAACCCAAAACCAAAGCCAAACAGUUUGAAAGAGUCCAAAGAGUCCUAGAAAAUACAACCUCUCAAAUCUCAAUGCCAAAACUUAAAUAAAACCAUAAAACAAAAUAAAAUAGUAAUAGCGAGUGGUCACUGUCAAGUCCUCCGCUGCACUGAUCCGCCUAACUCUGUGGAUAACCUGUUCAAAACAAAUAGAAAAUGGGUGAGUUUACGUAACUCGGUGUGUAACUCAGCAGAAUUAAACAUGCAAUGAUACAAAUUAUCAAACAUCAGUCAUAUACAAAUUAGGGCCCAUGCCCAUCUCAGAUACAAAUACAGAUGUGAAAAUUAGAAUCAGAAAUAAAAAAUCCUACCCCCAUCCUCUACACACCAUCUCUGAUCAUCUCUACACACCAUGUGGGGUUAAAAACACCCACCCAGCCCUGCACACCAUAUAGCACUGAUGCGGCACAAAACAUAUAUAAUACAGCCAUGCUGCCAGAUAUUAGGCACAAAUUGCCUUUUAGAACACUUUUUCCAAUAUACAUCAUCCCAUCCCCAAUAUCAGGUACAGAAAGAUACAAUUAUAGAUAAACAGACUAACAUGUUCAAAUACUUUCAUAUAAGCGUAUAUAGAUAACAAAUAUGUAGAUAAUAGUGCAAGUAAACAUGCAUCAAUCUCCUAAUGAGAUCAAAAUAUCAAACGAUUAGAUCAUAUAGUUUAGGGUUUAUUUAGCCCUUACCGACCCUAUAGUAGGCCCAUUUUUGUUUGGGACGACCCGUGCAACCCUAGGGAAAAACUCAGAUAAAUGGGCCCACACACCCGUGUGGACUGCCCAUGUAGGCUCACACGCCCAAUAUGGCCCAUACGCCCGAUUUGGUCAAGCUCGUGUGGCUCACACGGCUACAUCCUAGCCACUACAUGGCCGUGUCUAGCGCACGACCUCACCUUCGUCGACCACACGGUCGUGUCUCACACACGGCCUGCUACACACCUAUGUGACAUCGAUAGUGGCCUUUUUUGUCUUUUACUGGAACUUAUUUUUCUACAUUUCGGGUACAUACUUGGUAUUGUUUUGUAACGAAAACACUGCCGAGCUUCCCAAAACCUAAAACCAGAAUAUCCAACAUCGAUUUAGCAAUUGAUUAACAGAUUUCGGCAAUAAUGAGCUAACAGAAACCCGACUUACCACCGAAGAAGAACCUUCAUUAACACUUGUUAACCAAAGAAACGAAUUUCACUACUCGAAACAUUCGCCUACACUAUCAAUUGCAAUAGAAAUCAGAUUCUUAAUCGCUUAUUACACAACUAUGACAAACCGAAAUAGAAAACUUACCGAACAUGCACAAGUGUAAUUUCUGUUGCUAAAAGAAAAGAUGAAUUAGGGAAACAAAAGGAAAAGGAAGAGGGAAAGUUCCAAGGGAAUUUCGGCAGAGUGAUGGAGGAUACCGAGCAUCAAAAGGAGAUGGAUUUUCAAAAAAGAAAAUAAAAUAGAAAAUACCCUAGACAUGUUGACAACCCCCAAAUCCCUUAGAUUUCUCCCCACUAACCCACUAACACUUAACUUCUCAGAAUUUACAUUCCAUUGAAACACUGGCACAAAACCGAGCAAAAAAUAUCACCCAUGCUCGCGCAAUGAUUCGAACAUAGAACCUCCAACACACAAACUCCCUUACCACUCGAACCAACAGGCUCAUUCUGUCAUGGUUUUGCAAAAUUAAGUAUAAGCCCACUAAGCAAGGGUAGGACUUAAGUCAGAAAAAUACCAAAAUUUACCAAAGAUAAGGCUUGAACUUGAUACCUCACACACACACCCAAAACACUGAAUCACUACAGCAGAUACAUAUUUGUAUUAAGUAUUCACAGGUACAAAAACAUAAAACUUGAGGCGUUACAAAAGCAUGGGGUGAUUGGCAAAUCAAUCAGCACCAACUUGUUGCAAAGGAAGAUUCCCUUUUUUCUUUCCAAUCCACUAAAACAAAGACUUAUAUAAUAAUUUAGAUCCAAUAUUGCAAUAAUCUCAUAAUUGAAGCACCAAUUCCACUCACGCAAUUAUUGCAAUAAUAGAUUUAUUAUUUUUUAAUGGGUUAAUUGUAACACCCCCUAACCCUUAUCCGUCCCUGGAAUAGGAUUAUAGGGCAUUACCAGUCAAUACAAUUUAAUUACGGACAUUUAUUAAAAUAAUUAUUUACACUUAUCCUAUAUUUAACAUAUUGUCCCUUUAAUGGACCCUCGAAGUCCAAUAUGAACAGUAAAAUCAAUUCGAGACUAAUUUCAAAUCACAACGAAUUUUUCUCAAUAUUUCAAAAUUUUCCUAUCGAAAGUAUCCAUACGCCAGUGUGUCUCCAUAACACGCCCGUGUGGGCUCACUAUGUGGCUCACAUGGCCUGAACACACCCGUGUCCUCUACCCGUAGAGCUCUUUGAAUUGUUACUCAUGAACUAAUUGAUUUCACAAGGCCAAGUCACACGUCCGUGUGCUUAGCCCGUGUGGUUUUAUUUUCAAUUCGAAUCUAGUGCAGUUUUCAGACGGCCCUAUCGCAUGCCCGUGUCCAAGACCUUGUCUUCCAGACGACUGAGACAUACGGUCAUGUCUCUGCCCAUGUAGUAGUACCUGAGCAUUCUGUUUGCAAUACUUCAGAUGCAGGGGACAUAAAGCCUAACAACACGUCCGUGUGCAAGUCGUGUGUCUCACACGGUCUAGUUACACGUCCGUGUGUCAGGCCAUGUGGACUCAAAAUGAGCCUUACAAAUCUAGUUUACCAACCCUGCAAAUCUAGAACCCUAAUCAACACAAUUUCUAAUCUUUUAACUUAUUCAAAUUACGAUCUAAUACAUCUAAAGCAUAUUAAUUUGACCAAAAUAAACAUCCAACCAAUGACCCUCAUUGGUACCAGAAUUUAUUUCAACCAUCAUUGCAAUAAAAUACUAAUUGAACUUAUUUUUGCUUAUACCCGAAUUUACAUCUUUCAUACCAAACUUAAUUAAGUUAUAGACUCAAUCAUUAUCAUUUAUAACAUCAUUUAAAAUAACUUUCCAAAAUGACCACUUUUGACAUCCUAGGUACAUGCCAUUACCAAUAAUAAACAUACUUCUCCACUUACAGUUUGGGAUCGGCCUGGGAUGCUGAUUCAACGAUCUGAUUUUAACUUAUCCUGCGCACGGAAACAAACCGUAUGCUGAGUAUGAGCUCAGUGGUAUUUCUAUAAUCUGAACACUUAAUAACAUAACAUACACUUAAAAUCAUAUAUUGAUCUUGAAUAUUCAAUUAUUCAUUUCAUGGAUAAAUUCUUUAUAACUCAUUCAAUCUUCAUCAUCUAUUAACCCGAUUAGCUUUUCAAAAUAAAUUCACAAAUAAUUUAAAACAAUAAUAUUUUCCAUUCAUAUGUCUCACUUAUACUUCUAUUCAUUAUUCAAUUUCAGUAAAUAAUAUUUAACUAUUACAUUUCAUUCAGUAACCCGUAUAAUCCAAACUCAAUAUCAGUUAAUAUUUUUCAGUGUCACUCAAUUUAUCAAUUUCAUUUAGUAACAUUCAAUCAUUCAGUAGCAAUUAGUUAUUCAGUAACAAUCAUUUGCUCAGUAGCAAUCAGUUAUUCAGUAACGAUCAAUUAUUCAGUAACAGUCAGUCGUUCAGUAUUUUUAUUUACCCCUAUUAACAUGACUCGGACACUGACGGAUACACGGAUCCAACCAUCACACCAGUACAAUACGGCACAUAGUGCCUCAUCGGCCAAGCCGAAGUAAAUAGUAACAGUAACAGUACGAUACAGAGUACCUCAUCGGAAUUAAUCCGGAACAGUAACAGUACGACAUUUAUAAUACCUCAUCGACUCAAGGUCGAAGUAUCCCUGAACGCUUCUAAUCCUAUGGCAUGCCAACUAUAUCCAACUUAGCCCGAAUACUGUUAAUAGGGUUUUCAAUUCACUUGCAAUUUUUCAACCAAUACACAUUUCAAUUAAUCACAUAUAUUUUCAAUUCAAUACAAUUCACUUUACUUUUCAAUAAAAAAUAUUCAAAUUUCACAAUAAUCGCAUAUUCAUAUCAAUUCAAUUCAAUAACAAUUACUAAUACUUACCAUAACAUUUAAUCAAAAUAAAACAAUUAAUAAUUAAAUUCACCUUUCAAUUCCAACCAAUGUUCCCUCCAAUUCAAAUAAUCAUCUCAAUGCACUUAGCAUACAUCUUAAAUAAUAAUUUCAACAAUUAUAUAUUAAGUUCAGAUUUUAGAAAUACAAACCGUAAUUUUCGAGCUAACCCUCGUUGUCUUUGCCUUGUCCUUUCUUGGCUGAGGUUUCUGGCACAAUAUUAGCUACGGAAAUUAAAAUAAUAAUACCAUUAAUUACAACACUCAUUAUAACAAAUAAUUGAAUUUCUAUUCAAUUUAUACAUUAUUUUCAAUUAAAUCCUAACUAACUCAUUCACUUUACUAACUUAAUUCAUACUUCAUUCUUAGUCAAAUUCCUAUCAAAUUCAAACUUAACUAUCAAGUGUUCGUAAUAAAACCCUAAUUUAAAACUUCUUUCAAUUUAAUCCCUACUAUGUAAAACUUAUAACUUACUUUACAAUUCAAUCCCCUUUUUCAAUUCUAUCUUGAAAUUCAUUCAAUUAAACCCCUAAUUUAUUAUUUUGUUCAACAUGAACUAUGUUCAAAAACUUAAGAACUUUCAAAAUCUCAACUUAAUUUCUACAAAACUUUGUUCUAAAACUUCUAAAACAUCAAAAUUAAAAUAAAAGAACUUAAUUAAUUUACCUAUUAAAGCUUAAAGCUUCCAAACCCUGGUUUUUCCUUUUUCUUUGUUUUCUUAUUUUUCCCCUGGUACUUUCGAAUAGCCUAUUCUAUUUUUAUUUCCUUCUUUGUUUUAUUUUCUUUUAUUUUAUACUUUAUUUGUUUAAUAAUAAUAUUAUAUCUUAAUAAAUAUCUAUUUAAUAAUCAAUAUAUUUAUUACAAGUUUAAUAUUACUUAUAUUUACACAUGUACUAUAUCAUCAUCAUUAUACAUUUGUCAUGUUUUAAUUUAUUUAUCACAUAAAAAUCUUAUAAUAUAAUUAUUUAAUUAAUAAAUAUCUUUUACUUAAUAAUAAAUAAUAAAUAUCUAUUUACUUAAAUUAAAUGUAAUUAAAUAAAUGUAUCACAAUUGUACAAAUAUAAUUAUUACACAUGUAUAUUUUUAUUACCAUACAUUUGUCUUUACUUUAAUUUAUUUUAUAAUUUAAUAUCAAUUUAAUAAAAAUAAUAUUAAUAAAUAUCAAAUAUAAAACCAUAAUAAAUAAUAAUAAUUUAAUAUACAUAUUUAUGCAUAAAAAUCAAAGAUUUCUUUGCAUUUGCCGCCUCACUUAGGACAAAUGGUAUAGUUACCAUUUUGAUCCUUUUUAUUUCCUUUUAAUCUACAAUUAAACUUUCACACUUUAUUCAAUUUAGUCUUUCUUCCUAAUUACUCUUAAUUAAGCUAAAUUCACUUAAUUAAAGCCUAAUUAACCACUCGAUUAACUUCAUAAAUAUUUUUAAUAAAUAUUUACGAAUCUAUUUUUUAGAAACAGAGACUUGAAAAUACAUUUUUCGAUAACUAUAAAAUUCAGGUCGUUAUAUUAAUUGCAUCAAAUGAUCCUCAUUCUAAAUUAAUUCAUAAAUUUUAAAUCAUUUUAAUACAUCUCUAAACUAAAUAGGUUAUAUCAAUUAAGUUUUUCUUUUACUAAAACCAUUAAUUUAAUGAUAAAAAUAUCUCUAUAAUCUUUCUCAAUUUUGGAAUUAAACAAAUUAGUCCCUAUAAAAAAAUUGGAGCAAUUUAAUCACUACCAAUUCUGAAAAUAAGUAACGAAGGACAAUUAGUCACGAUGUUAAUGUCUUUCGUCAAUUGUGCAUAAUUUUUAUUGGCAUAAUAACAAAUUUAGCCUCGAUGUUUACGUAUUUUGUUAUUUUGGUCUUGAUUAUAAAAAAAACAACAAAUUUAGUCUCAACAUUUACAAAAAUAUUGCGAGCUAAAUUUGUUAAAUCAUCAUCAAAUCAAUAGUAUGUGUAAAUUAGACGAGCUAAAUUUAUUAUUAUACCGGUCAAAUUUAUGUAAAAUUAAUGAAAAACAUUAACGUUGUGAUUAAUUAUCUUUAAUUGCUCACUUUCAAAAUUGACAAAAUUAAAUUGCUUUGACUUUUUUAGAGGGAUCAAUUUGCUCAACAUCAAAAUUGAGAGGGACUAGAGAGGUCAUUUUACCCAGUUUAAUCAUUAAAUAGCAUGUUACAUCUAAUGUAAAGUAAUUUAAAAUGAAAAUUUUAAAAAUGAAUAUUAUAAUUGACGUUCUUUUUUUUAUAAUUUCAGUUUUACUUAAUUUUUGUUUUUAAUUUCAGUUUUACUUAAUUUUAAACAUGAUUCUAUUUCUUUAAAAUUUUCAUUUUAAAUUUAGCAAUAAAAGAUUUGAUGUGCCAUUUAACGAUUGUAAUAACAAAAGGACCCGAUUGAUUUAGUAUCAAUAAACUGAGGGUGUAUUUAGAAUAAUUUGAAGUUUAGGGACCAAUUUAAAAUGAUGGUAAUAGUUGAGGGAUGCUUGAUGGAAUAAACUCUUUUCAGAUGGUGCUAAUUAUUAAGUCUGCUUUAGGACAAAGUGAAAAAGUGGAAAGCCGAGUAAAAAGAUGAACCAAAGACUCACCUUUUUCUAAGUCCUCUGACAUGCCUUGUUGGUCUUUUUUGCAAACCAAUCAGCACCAACUUCAUUAAUUUAGAUCCCAAUAUUGCUGUAAUCUCAUAACACAAAUCCUCUGGCUACAAGAAAACUCAGUUUUUAGUGGCGAAGCAUCGUAGAAAUUCAUGGGUCAUACUAAAAUAGUAAAAUUUUCCGAGCGGUUGAAUUUUCCAGGCGGAUGAACUUCAAUUUCUACUUUGUUUUUUUCCCCCUUCCUUCAAGUUCCUUUCUUUUUGUGUUCAGUUUACUUACUUUUGCUAAAAAAAAAAAACCAACCUUGAAAUCCCUUUUGAUUGUUUUGUAGUAAGAAUCUUCUGAGCACUACGAGUAGUUUGAUUUUAAAGUUCCCAAGUGAGGUAAAUCUAUUUAUAUUUGCUUCAUUUCUUUUAUUUCUGUUUUUUUUUUUAUAUAUAAAUUGAAGUUGUUCUAUCUUUUUUUGAUCUCAUCUCAUCUUUUUAUGUUUUUAUUGAAGCAAAUCAGAGCUAUAAGACUGUUUGGAUUUUGAAGUGGUAAGUGGAUAUAUUUAUUAUAUUUCCCAGCAUUAUAUGUAUAAUAUUAUUAGUGUGAGGGUACAAAUAUUUUGAAUUAUUAUUUUUAUAAGUAAUUAACUGUCUUUUUUAUUUAUAAUUAUAUGACAUUACACUCGUAUAUGAUUUUAUUUUGUGUUGUGUCUUCAGCUGGACUGAGUUGAAAGAACAGCCCAUUGAUUCUCAUAGUUUGAGUUGUCUUUCACCUUCCUUGGUAUGUAUAAGUAGUGUCCUAAUCUUCAAAACACUUUUUGAUUCUUUAAUAGUUUUUAAUGGUAACUACUUAUAAUUCACUGCAGUGUUUGAGCUUGGAACAUCAUAUUCUUCAAUUUGAGCUUGUCAAGCAUGGGUUGUGGGUUUUGUGGGGCUGCUCUUCCUAACAUCUUUGCAACACUGGUUGUGGACUGUGUGUUGAAGCCGGUAGUACGUCAAUUUGAUUAUGUCCGUCGCUUUCAUGACAAUGUUGAAAAGCUCCGAGAGAAAAAGCGUGAACUUGCAGAUGCACGAGAUCGUCUACUACAUAAGAUUGAGGAUGCUAAAAACCGGCUUCUACUAAUUGAAAAUGAUGUACAGAACUUGCAAUCAAGGGCAGACGAAACACUGUCGGAUAUGGGAACUCUGGAGGAGGAAAUCCAACUGAAUAAGAGGUGUCUCAACUGGUGUCCUAAUUGGAGUUGGAGAUAUCAAUUAAGCAAGAAAGCAAUGAAGAAAAUCCAGGGUAUCUCUGAACUUUUGGACAAAUUUCGUCAACUUGGACACGUUGGUUACUGUGCUCCUACUGCCCUUCCCACUAUAGACUUCCUAUGUUCUAAGGAAUUUGUGUUUUCGAAAUCUUCAGAGACUACUUUCUAUCAAAUCAUUGAAGCCUUAAAAGAUGAGAAUAUCAACAUGAUUGGGUUGUGGGGGAUGGGAGGGGUGGGCAAGACCACCCUGGCUCGUGAAGUUGGAAGUCAACCUCAAAAACUGAAUUUGUUUGAGAAAGUUGUGAUUACGGUUGUGUCUCAAAAGCCAAAUUUUGAGAGAAUUCAAGAUCAAAUUGCACAAUACAUAGGCUUUGAUAUGAAGAAUAAACAAGGAAGAAGAUCCGAGCAAGAAUUAUGGUUAAGGCUGAAGAAUGAACCGAGGAUUCUUAUCAUCCUUGAUGAUAUUUGGGAAUCUAUCAACUUAAAGGAGAAGAUAGGAAUUCCAAUUGGGGAUGAUCAUAAAGGCUGCAAAGUUCUUUUAACAACACGCCGUAAACGAGUAUGUCAAAUUAUGGAGUGUCGACCGGUGGUAGAACUUGACUGUUUGGAUGAUGAUGAAGCUUGGACUCUGUUUGAAAAGAAAGCAGGUCUAGAUGACUUUUCUGAUGAUUCUAUUAAAACCCCAGCAAAGAAAAUUGUCAAAAAAUGUGGGGGUUUGCCUAUAGCUAUAGUUCCGCUGGCAAGUGCCUUGAAAGGCAAAACAAAUUGUCAUGAGUGGCAAGCUGCAUACCGGAGACUCGAAGGUCGUAGAUUGACUGAAAUAGAGGAUGUUGAUGAAAGAAAUGCCUAUGUAAUUCUUGAGACGAGCUUCGAUUACUUGAAGGAUAUGAUGACCAAGACAUGUUUCUUGUUGUGCUCUUUAUUUCCCGAAGAUCAUGAGAUUUAUGUGGACGACUUGGUAGGAUAUGCAUGGGGACUGGAGUUGUAUAAAGGCAUGGACUCAAUUAAAGAUGUUAGAAGCGAAGUGCUUGCAUCGAUUGAGAUCCUCAAGAACUCUGGUUUGUUGCUAGAUUCCGGAGAAAUGCAUGUCAAAAUGCAUGAUGUGGUUCGCCAAUUUGCUUUGUGGAUAGCAUCUUCAAGAAAGGAGAUUUCUUUUGGGACUGUUGAAACACUCCCGAUGGAUGAAAGUUUCAAGCAUUACACAGCAAUCUCCUUCGAAACUGAUCAAACAGAUGAACUUCCUAAAGGAGUCGGUUUUCCAUACCUCAAACUUCUUUUACAUGGUGGCAAUCGUUUCGUGGAAACUUCAAGCGAAUUCUUUGAGGGUAUGAAGGCAUUACAAGUUUGUGCUUUGAAAUAUCAAUUGAUAUCUCUAGCUGCAUUUAAGUUUAAUAUGAACCUUCGAACUUUGUGUUUGAUUAAUUGUGAACUCUCUGACAUCUCGAUGCUUGGCAAGCUGAAGACACUUCAUAUUCUCUCUUUAAGUCAAUCUGAUAUCACUGAAUUGCCGACUGAAGCUGGUGAUUUGGAAAAUCUAAGACUGUUGGAUUUAUCGUAUUGCGAUGAUCUACGAAGAAUUGCUCCUAAUUUAAUACAAAGAUUGUCCAAUUUAGAAGAACUAUACUUGCAUGGUUGUAGUUCAUUAAAAUGGGCGACUGAGAAUUCAACUAAAAAGGAAAGCUAUUCUAGCCUAUCGGAGUUGAAUUCAUUGCCAAAGUUGGUUGUAAUAUCAUUGGAUAUUUCUUCUAAACAUCUUCCAGAUGGCUUUGUGUUUCGUAGAUUAUGGAGCUUUGAUUUUUGCAUUGGCAUAAAAAGACCCAAGUGGUACCAAAAGAGCGAAACUUGUCCAAUCUCAAGAUCUUUGAGAAUCAAGAAAUCUGUAGAUGCAUGCAAGCAACUACUUGAAAAUGUAGAAUCUCUUCAAUUGAAUGAUGUGGAGGGUCACCCAAACCUUAUUCCGAGCUUGGACUUGGGAUUUAGUAAGUUGACUUCUCUAGAUCUUCGUCUGUGCCACUUUAUGCAGUGCCUAAUUGAUUCACCAAAGCAGCAAGUGCCAAUCACGACACUCUCUAAUUUGAGGAAGUUAUCAUUAAGUUGUAUGUUUGAUUUGGAAGAGAUGUGCAAUGCUCCCCAGCCGCAAGGUUUUUUACAAAAGCUUGAAGAGGUUAUAGUUUCAGAUUGUGAUAAGAUGCAAGUCUUAUUCCCUAAUGUUGAAUUGAAGAGCAUAGAACUAGAAGGGCCCAGUAGUCAUUUAUGCCUCCAAAGUCUGAAGAUUGUUAAAAUAAAGAGAUGCAAUAAUUUGAAAUAUAUCUUCCCAAUGUCAGUUGCUAAUAGCCUUGAACAAUUGCAUACUUUGAAGAUAAAGAGUUACUCGCAAUUGGAAGAUAUAAUCCAAGACCGACAAGCUGCAUACAAAUGUCUACUCCAAAGUCUAAGGGAAGUAUGUGUAUCUCAUUGCAAUAACUUGACAUCUCUUUUCCUUAUUGCCUUAUGGUCAAAGAUUGGGAAAUUUGAUUAUGCUUUUCAUUUCAGGUUUCGUUGAUUGAUUUACCUCAAUUGAAAGGAAGGGAUGUGAAUGACAUUAUGCUCACACAAUUGUCUUUGCAGAAGUUAAAAGUGCACAAUUGUCCUCAAUUGACACAUUUUAUUAUUUCGACUACUAUACGAGUUUAUAUUAUAUUAUAUAUUUAUUUAUUAAUUCGUUUCUUUUUUUCUUUAAUAAUUUGUUGUUUGAAUAGUUGUUUAAAAGAUAGAAUUUAUUUUAUAAUUUUGGUCUAAAACUAAUCUAAGUAACCUUUUAAAACAAAUUAGUUGAUUAUAAUACUAAAUUAUACAAACUAUAUGUUUUAGAUAUGUUGCAAACUAUUUAUCUAAUACUAAAUUAUAUUAUACCUAUUAAGUGGGUAAACAAAAAUAAGUUACAUAAAAUUAUAUAUAAGUUUUAGUUCGGUUGGUAUCGAUAUUGUUGUAUGAAUAGAGGAUGUGGGUUUGAGCGCACUUAAGAACGUUUGUCUUUCUAUUUAAACGUGGGAAGGAAUUAUGGAUGAUUUUAGAAUUUGUAUAAAAAAAUAAACUAAAAAAUAUAUAUAUUUAAAUUUUUUUUAAAAUGUAGUCUUUAACACAGGUGAUUUUUUUGUUUUUGUAUUAAUAUAUGAAAACGAGUUUAAGUAAUUUCCAAUUGCGUUGUUACACCUAUCUAAUAAUUUAUAUAUGUAAAGAUUAUGUGAUAUUAUUUAUGACUGUUUUUGCACCUCAUUUUUUGAGUAUAAUAUUGAUUUAAGUUAAAAUAAAUUUUUUGUAAGGAAAUUAAUUGAUGAAAUGAUAAGUUAGUUGUUGACAUCUUUGAAUAUUUUGAAAUUGAAAAUUGAUGAUAUGUUUAUAGGAAUUGGUGUUUGGGAAGAUGACAAAUCAACAAUUGAGCAAUUUGCAUUCAUGUAAAUAUGAGGAGCUAGAGCAAGAUCAAACGUCAUCACCACAUCAUCCCCUACCUAUUUGCUUUCCAAAUCUGAUUCGAAUUGAUAUCUUAGAAUGUGAAAGCUUGAAAUCUCUCUUUCCAAUUAUUGUUGCUCAAGGUAGGUCUAAAAAACUAAAUGCUCCCAAUUUGCAAACCUUGAAGAUAAAGAGGUGCUUUGGAAUGGAAGAAAUAAUCCAAGACUCACAAGUAUCAACCAUAAGCUUCCAAUGCCUAAGGGAAAUACAAGUCACAGAAUGCAAUAAUUUGAAAUUUCUCUUCCCAAUGUGUGUUGCUGGUAAUCUUGGGCAAUUGCAAACUCUGAAGAUAGAGAGCUGUUCGCAAUUGCAAGAAACAAUCCAAGGACCAGAAGUGCUAAUUUCAAUGGCUCAAGGUCUUGCACAAUUGAAUGAAGUUGAGUUAAUUGAUUUGCCUCAAUUGAAAGGAAAUGAUACAAAUGACAUCGUGCUGACAUCGCCAUCUUUGCACGUGUUACAUGUGAGAAAUUGUCCUCAAUUGACACCUUUUAUCGUGUCCCCCAAUAUACAAGUAAGACCUUAUAUAUUAUUUAUUAAAAUUUUCACCUUUUGAUUUUUUUUGUAUAAAAUAAAUAAAUGCUUGUAUAACUCUUUAAAAAAUAGUUUUCAUUUUAGAAUUUUGGUCUAAAAACUAAUCUAAAUAAACCUUUAAGUAGUUUAGUUAAUUACAAUACCAAUUAGUAGUAAAUACUUUUAUCAUCUAUAUGAGAAAUAUAUAUAUUAUUUAUGUUUCUUUUAUUUAUAUAUAUAUAUAUUUUGCAAACACUAUCUAGUACUACGUAAUAUUAUUUAUGUUGUGUUUUUAUAAGUAUUGGUGUUGUCGGAGAUGACAGAAAAGCAAUUAUUUGAAUAUUCUAGAUAUAAUGUUUCAAGUCUGAAGUACCUUAGUUUGUACAAACUAACUGAAUUGCGGGUGAUAUGGAGUGCUCCCAUCCAAGUUGAAUACUUUGCAAAUCUCACUGAAUUGGUAGUCCACAGUUGCAGAAGGUUAAUAUACAUCUUCUCACCUACCAUCGCUCGAAAUUUCCCACAAAUGCGCAGGUUGAAUAUAUAUGUGUGUGAGGAAUUGGAGCAAAUAAUUGAGAAGGAACAAACUCCAUCACAACAUCAGCUCCAACCUAUUUGCUUCCCUAAUUUGAGUUCGAUUACAAUCAUUAGCUGUGUAAACUUGAGAUGUCUCUUCCCGAUUACUCUUGCUCAUGGCGGCCUUCCAAAACUAUAUCGAUUAGAACUUGAAGAUAUCCCCCUAUUAGAGCAGGUGUUUGAAGAAGAUGAGUCAAAUGUGAGUAAGGACGAAGAGGAAGUGAUACACCUACCUCGAUUAACCCACUUAAAGCUUGAUUGGCUACCAUACCUCAUGAGCUUCAGCCCUCUGGGUUCUCAUUUUAUUUUCCCAUCUUUGACGGAUUUACGAGUAAAAGAUUGUCCCAACAUAUACACAAGAUUUAGUGUGGAUUCAAAGGAUUCAGUGCAUGCCAAAACACAGGUACACUACUCUUCCAAACUCAAUAAUAAGCUUUAAAACAAAAGUUUAUCCACUGAAUUAUUUUCUCUAUGUAUUCUUCCAAACUCUUUAUUUACUAAUCUUUAAUUUCUAUGCAUUAAUGCAAUAUUUUUAUUUUGGCUGUCUGAGAGAAAUUCUUUUUUUUUUAAUGCUUUAAAUGACUAAAUGAAAUUGCAUCGACUGUAAAUGGUUUCUGUUGGCUGUCAAUAUUUGUUUCUAGAUAUCAUUGUUGCAUUAUUAAUUUCAAUUCACAGUUCUUGUUCUUAAAAUGUCAUCCUUUGUCCAAUUUUGGAAAACUGGCUUUGCUUUCUUCAUCAUCAAUCAUCAAAAGCAAACAGUAAUAAGUGAAGGUUUAAUUUGCUUUGCAGGUAAGCCAAUCAGUUGAUGAAAUUAUAGUGGAAGAAUCUGCUACGGCUCCAGAAAUUGCAUGGCCAAUUGGUAGUGAUAUCUAUUGGUGGAACGGGGAAGGUGGGGAAGAUGAAAGUGAUUUUGAAUAUUAAAAAGAAUGGAGCAAUAAAUGAAGUAAUUUCUAUUUGAAAAUUAAGCAUUGUGAAUGUUGAAAUUGAAUGCCAUGUAUUCGUUAUUAUGUACCACUUAUUUUUUCAACUAAUUCUAACAUUACAUAAGGUAAUUUAAAAACAUCAAUAAUGUUGGUAGAAACCUUAUUUUUUUGAAAAGGCGUUGACUUUUAUUUAAAAACGAAAAUGGGAGUCACCACUGAUUUUUUAAGGUGUGAUCAGAUCACCUAGUAAUUUAGUCGUUUUAAUGAAAUAUUUUAAUUUAUUAAAACAGCGAUUUUGGUCUACGAAAUUUGAGAAAAUGGGUUCGGGAGUCAGUUACGUGCGAGGAAGGAUUAAUACCCUUGUCACGCCCAAAAUUGGUACUUAAUUGAUUAAUUAAUGUCUCAAUGUUGAAUGUUAAAAAUUUAGAAAAGAUUUUAAAACACGAUUCUUUUUUAUUAAUGUUCAUUUUAAAAAUGAUUGAACAAAUGAAACGAAAUGCUAAAGACUCUCUCGUCUCGAGGUAAUAAAAUAUCACAUCCCGUAAGUUAAGACACGACAUUUUGAACCCUUGAGAAUAAUCUUGCCUUUAAAUUUUAUUGAAAUUUCAUCUAUUUUGAAAUUUAAAAGGAUAUUUGGCUAUUUAGGUUUAACAAGAAAAUCGAAACCCCAUAAGUUAGGGUACGAUUUCUUGAAUUUCCAAAACGCGAAAUAUUACUUUAUUUUAAAAUUUUUUGUUUUUGAAUAAUAACGAGUACUACAUUUACGAUGUGUGUUUAUUUUGUUCAAAGUAAAACCAAAAUGAUCCAUAUUGGAUAAAUAUAUUGGAGCCUAAUGCACGACGUGAUUUAAACGAGAUAAAAGAAAAAGGCAACAUAGAGCAUGGAAUAAUGAUACACGAAUUAGAUGUUAUGUUAAUGAAUGUCGACAAUAUGAAAAUAUUAAUAAAUAAUUCCUAGAAUAUAUAAUAGUAAUAUUGACAUAAUACAUCAUUUUAAUACCAAAAUUAACAAUUGAAGUAAACAAAACAAAAUAACAUAUAAAACAAUUUGAAGUAAAUAGUAUAAAACAAUUUAAAAUGAAUAAUAUGUAAAACAAAUAUUAAAAUAAAUAAUAUAUAAAGCAAUUCAAAAUAAAUAAUUUACAAGACACUUUAAAAGAACAUAUAAAAGAGUUUAAGAUAGAUAAUAUGUAAAACGAAAUUUAAAAUUAAUAUACAACGCAGUUUUUUUAAAAUAAAAAUAAAAAUAAAAAUAAAAAUAAAAGAUAUAUAUAUAAUAGUUCAAAACAAAUAAUAUAUAUAAUAAUUUAAAAUAAAUAAAUAAUAAAAGUGUUUAAAAUAAGUAAUACAGGGAAAACUUAAAAUAUAUAAUAAUAAAACAGUUUAAAAUGAUAAUAUAAGAAAAGACUUAAAAUAAAUAAUAAUAAUAAAAAAAAAUUCUUUUGAAAAAAGAAAAAAAUUAAAUUAAAUAGACCAAGGACGAGAUUGAAAUCGAACUGAAAUUCAGGGUAUAAAUUGUAAAUAAAAAAAGGCUAACAAGAAGCAAAAUAAGACAGGCUGAAACAAACGGGGACCAAAUGAAAACAUAGCCCAAUCUUUGGACACGCAUCCUGUCUCCAAGAGCUCAGCGUGCCCAGGAUUAAAUUGAACCACGCGAGAAAUGUAUGCCCAAAUUUAUAAAAUAAAGAAAAAGGUAAAUAAAAGGGCAAGAUUACAGUGCACUGCAAAAGCGGAGAGACUCCGCGUGCAAAUAGACCAUAAGUCAAAAAGGCGCGGACCUUCUCCUGGUAUGGGUUGGGUCGUGCGGGUUAGAAGCCUAAAACAACGUCGUUUUGACCUCUAAACUUAAUGAUCAAAACAACGUCAUUCUAUGACUUUAUUUAAACCCAAUUUUUUUUUAAAAAAAAUUUAGUGGUUCUUAAAAAAAACUUCAAAGAAACCCUAUUCUCUCAACCCCCCUUUUGGCCGGCAUGGGUUCCAUCGUUGAUACACCCUACCGCCGCCGUGGCCGGUGGCCAACGAUGCGGAAAACGGGCUUUUUAGCCUCGCUUUGAGGCGCCUUUGAAGGCCAAGACACCAAAAUCCAAAGAGUCGAAAGGAGAUCACUCUCUGGCCCUUUUGAGUUUGACUUCGGAAACGGAGAAUGGCCUCCUGACGUUGCAACCGCGGGAAAAUCAGGUGAGCCACAAUCUUUCCGUUUUUAUAUUUUCAUAUAUGUAUAUAUAUAUAAAUAAAAUAAGAUAAAAUAAAAUAAACUUAAUAUUAAAAUCAAAGAAAUAUUAAAUGAAAAUCACCUUUCUUCAAUAGAUUUCUAUUCUUUUUGUUCGAAAGUUCUUUUAUAUUUUCUUUUGUUUUUGUGCGUGUGUAAAAAAAAGUACAAAGGAAUCAUCUUGGCUUUUAUAGCCGACGCUAAGAUCCAUUUUUGUUUGUUUUUGUUUUGUUUCUGCUGCCAUUUUGUCUUUUUCCUUGUUGUUUCUCGUACUACUUGCGUGUUGGUUUUGUUUUGUAGGUGUCAGAAGCGUGGUGAUGGCUUGCGGUUAUGAUGGCACGCUGAGGAGGAGCGGCAGUUGAAGCUCUUAGGGGGCUAGGGUUUUUCUUCUUCUUGUUUUGGCUGAAAGUGUUUAGUUUUGUGGGCUAGGGUUUAGUUGGGGUUAAUUUGGGUUUAUGGUUUAGGCUUGUAAAAUUGGGUUUGUUGGGCUUUGGGUUUUGAAUUUUGUAAAAGAGACUGGACUGUUAAAAUUUUUGGACUUUUAUUAUUAUUAUUGUGUUUGGGUUUUCUGACGGGAUGGGCAAAUUUGGGCCCAUACAAUGUUGAUAUGAAAAACAUUAUAGAACGUAAAUAUAAAGAUUUUUGUUUCUUUACAGGCCCUUCCAAAAGCUAACAAAGUCUUUACCGAUUUUCUCAGCGAAUAUGGAGUCUUCCCGGCAUUAGAAGAAGGCUUGGUUAAUGAUGAUUUCAAACUUUUGUCUAGCUUUCGUUUAGCUUUUGGAUUCUUCCAAGCUACCUUCAUGUUUAUCCAAUUUUUUUUCCAGUUGGUCAUGCCGAAACAACUCAAACAUAAAUACAUGUGAUGAUAUUUCAACCAUAUAAAAAAAUCCCGACACACGUGAGAAAGGACACGUGAUAUGUGUUCGAUGAAGUGGUAGAGCCAAGGGUGCUUAUUAAUGGAAAAAAAUUAUUUAGGCCCUUUAUAAUUUAUAAAAUUUUUAUAAUUUAUAAAAUUUUAAAUUAAUAAUUGUAAAAUUACACUUUAAUCCUAAAAAAGAUAAAAAUUUAAUUUAAUCCUUUAAAAAAGGAUAAAGAUAUAGACUAUUAAAAUGGUAAAAUUGUAUUCUUACUAUCCUAAAAAUAUACAAUUAAAUUUUGAACCCCAAAAUUAUUUUCUGGCUCCACCCCUAGUUAAAUCCAUAUGUGAAUUAAUAACACAUUAGCCCAAAUAAAUGUGAAUGAAUCCAUAUGUUUAAAAACGAUAAGGGUAAAUUACACUAUUAAUGCCUCAAUUAUGUGUCAUUUAGUUAAAAGAGUUACAAUUUGGAUACUAAUGUUUUCAAAAUUAUUUUUUUCACCCAACUAUUAAAUAGCUAACAAUCACACUUUUUUUAGUUAGUAUAAUGACAAUUUUAAUUCUUAGAUUUUAUACUUUCUUUCAAUUUAACCCUAAUUCUUUAUAAAAAUUAUUUUAAAAACUCAAUAUAUUAUUUUAAAAAAUAAAAAAUUCUAUAUAAAAAUUAUGGUUUCUGCAACAACAAAAUAUUCAGCAUUGCCAUAAAUCAUGAAAAUGGAUUAAAAAAGAGAGAUCAAUUUCAAUCUCUUAAUAUAAUAUUCAUUUUGUGCAAAGUUUGAAUGUGAUUAAAAACUAAUGUUCAUUCAAGAAAAACUUAAUAUUAUACUACAGUAAAGCUCAAGAUUGUUCAAUAUUGAGACAUAAGAAAGAAAAAGAUUAUUCAAUAGAAUCCAAUUACAAAUUUAAAACAAAAUAGGACCAAAUUAGUAAUACCUUCAAGUCAAGUUCCACUCUAUUGAAGAACUUCUUUCAAACUAAUCUCACUAAGACUUGUGAAAUUGACUUUGAUGCCAUUCUUUUAGUAAAAAAUACAAAAUAUACCAUAAAAUAUUCUUUUGUUGAUCUAAAACAGUUGCUAAGUAAUAAGCAAAGUAUAAGCAGAAGUGACUACAAAAGUGUGUACUUCUGCAAGCACUGCGAUAAGCAAAAAUAAAAUAGGAAACAUCAAAGUUUGUUUACGCAGCUCAAUUUCCAUGCAUUUGUGAAGGCUUGCUCAGUGAGAAGAAUCACUAUAUUUAAACAAUUACAACUAGUGAACCUAAAUGUAUCACACUCCAAUGAUGAUUCCUCACUCUUGUACCUUCGAAGACUAGAUCACUCACUACUAAAUUCUCCCUCAGAGAACUUAGUUUGCAAAACCACAAUACAGAAUUUUACAAUCACAAAUGCACUCUUGCAAAAUAAUGUUCCUCACUUGAACAUAUAAAUGCUCUUAAUUAAGAAUUUGUGCAUCAACCUAUACAAGUCUCUUAAUUACAUAGAGAUUUCGAGACUUGUUAACAUAAUGAAAAUCUAUCAAUCCUUACUAAACAACAACUAAAAUAGCUAAAUACAAUAUAAUAUUAACAACCACAAUAAACAUUGACAGUUGGCAGCUAACUCUUCACUUUUUUGAUCUGAUCCAACUUCCUUUAUCCAUAGGACUUGAUAUAAGCGAUCCAAUCCAACCCGACCCAAUCUUCUAAAUAAAUUUCUCCAAGUGAUAUGAUAUUUAUUGAUGAGCUUGAUUCAUCCCACAAUAUCAACUUAGCCCAAAGAUACGGAUCAAUAAAUUGCCAAUCUUCCAAAUAUAGCAAGUUGUUUUGUCAUAGUAGUUGGGGUAGUGGGCAAUUCCCAUAAUACAUUUCAACAACUUCAAAUAUUUCAACAUUUUUCAAAAUCCAAACCGAAAAAACAAAUCUUUUUUCUCAUUCUUUUUAGAUGAUGAAAAAUAAUUUCCUUAAUUUUCUCUCACUUAUCUAUUUUUUAAAAUUUUUUAUCUAUUUUUAUUAAUUUUCAAAUUUAUGUAUUUUUAAGAUUUUCUAAUUUAAAAAAAAAAACUCAAUUUUUUUAUUGAAUCAAGGGCAAAUUAAUAGUCUAGACACGUUUGGUAGGCUUGAUGUAAAAGAGGAGUGUUAUGUUAAAUAACACUCAACUCUAAAAAUGAUGGAUAAAAGAUCAAUGCUACUACAUCAAAUUGUUUGGUUAUUGAAAAUUGUGAUAUAUAUAUUACUUUUCUUACCAUGUGUUUUUCGAUACAAUAUUAAGGGUAGGAGAUGGGGGUAAGACGGUUCUCACUUGUGCCCAACAGGUGUUCGAUACAAUAUAUUAAUCUUCUUACCAUGUGUUUUCUAUAAGUUAAAACAUAAGUGUUGUUUAUUAAUUCAUCAUCUUACCCUUAGCAUCUUUUUUUAUAUAGUCUAAAAUAAAAUAUAAAAUAUAUUAUUUACAAAAUAUUUACAUUAAAAUAUAAUAAAAUAACAAAAUAAAAAAUAUUAUAACAAUUAAUUUUAUAAAAUAUUAAAACAAUAAAAUAAAAUUAUUAUUGUUUAAAAAUAAUAUAUUAUUAUUACUUUUUAAAAAAAUAAUAAAAAUAUUUGUAUAUUAAUUUAUAUAAAUAAAAAUAUUAAAAUAUAUGUUUUUAUAUUAAUAUUAAUAUAUUAAUGUAAAUAUUAAAAUGAAUAAUUUUAAUAUUAGUUUAAUAAACCCGAACAUGAACAUAAAACAGACAUAGAGAAUAACAAAAAAUAAAAUAAAAUAUUUAUAUAAUUUUAUAUUAAAUAUAUAAAAUAAUAAGACAUACUUUUUAAAAAAUAACUAGAUUUUCUAAAAGGAAAAAUAACUAGUUUUAACCUCUGCUUUCGUGGGGGUUUCUAAUUUUCUUUAUAAAAUUUUAGUUAGUUAAUGUAAAAAUUAAUUGUAAAUUAAAUUUUAUUAAUUAUAAAAAUUAAAAUUUUCUCAGAUCAAGUAUAAAUAUAAGUUAAUGCCUGACUUAACUUGUAGAUCAAUCACUUUAACUUGUAGAUCAAUCACUUUAAAUAAAUUAUUUAAAUAUAAAAAAACUCCUUACAUGUUUUUUUAUAUAUAUUGAAUAUUCACUUGUUGAAUAUCAAUUCCUUGAACAGAUGUAACUAAUAUUAGGUUGUUGCCCGACGUUUGUUUGUUUGUUUGAAACAAGGAUCAGUGGCUGGCAGUAGAGCUGAUAGAAUCAUUGCAAAAUUAUGUCUCCUUAACUCUCGAAGCUAAUAGUUUUCUUUGUUCUGCAAUAUACGUUAGUCCGCAUCCAAUAUGUUGAGAUGUAAGUUGUGGAGUUUUUUUUUGGAGAACUUGGCAAAGUCGGUUGUCGAACCUUGGGUUUUAGCUUGCGACUUUUAUGCGAUCUUGGAUGGCUCAGAAAGGAUCAAGGGUAGUCCAUCUUCGUGAGCGGGUUGCAAACAGUUUCAGUCGUUCAUUUUUUAAAGUGGGCUGCGCAAUUUGGGAUUUAGUGCCCACAAUUUACUUGGAGUAGAGGAAAUUUAUCACAGCGUUUGGAUAGGGCUAUUUGUAAUUUGGCUUGGGAUUCGUUUCUGCCUAGUUCUUUGAUGCGUAAAUCUUCACUAUUUGAAGUCGGGUCAUCGUUCGAUUCUGCUUUCGCUUUGUCCUACGCAAAACAAAGGUAAUAGGCCAUUAAGAUGUAUAGCAAGUUCGAUGUUACAUGCUGAAUUCAAGUCUCUUGCCAAGAUUGUUGGAAAAAUGAGUAGGUGGGGUUGAACUUAGAGCGAUUCCAGGAGGUGGUUUAGGUAUGGAUGAUAACAUCUUUGUGCAGAAUAGGAAGCUAGUGUCAGAACUAGAGUGGGUGCAAAGAGUAUUGGAUUUGGGACCUUCAUUGAGAAUCCGAGCUUGUGAAUUAGAAUUGCGCCAUGUAACCUCCCCAACUCAGCUUAGACGUUAGACCCGAAUUUGAAAGAUUAUAUUGGCCACUGAGAUGGCCUAAACAGAGUUAUUGGAGUUUUAAAAUGGUCAAUUUUAAAACUCUUGUUUAUUUUAGAAGAAAAAUUAGUUUAUUUUCGGAAAGCCAUAUGAGUUAGUAAUAACUGAUUUUUUUAAUGUAUUUCAUGUAACGGUGUCCAUCUUAGUUAAUUUAUUAUCUUUCCAAAACUUAUUUUCAACUUUAACAGCGAAAAAGUUAUAUUAACGUAAUUUUAAUAAAAAUCAUGCUUCAUACAUAAUUAAAUAAAAAUUCAUAUUCUACUAGCUUAAAUGGUUUAUAUGUCAUGCAUGCCUAAGUAAAAAUCAUAAACUAAGUCUCGUGCCACAAUUCAAAAUAAAAUAUUACAGUCUUUAAAUAAUAAUAAAAUUUCAAAUAUAAACUUAAAAAUAUUUAUUAAAAUCAAGUUGGGCACCUCUGAAUGUCGAGUCUACGUCCUAACCUUGCAGGCUAUCUAAAAAGAUAGGAAUAAAAAGGGAGUGAGCUAUGAAGCUUAAUGUGAUUUCCAUCACAAGAAAAAUCGGUGCAAACCAUAGACAAAUCUACAGAAAAUUAAUUCAUUAAUUACAUGACAUUUACUUAGUCAGAUAGAAUAUCGAUAAUUCAGAAUACCAAUCAACAUAACAACUCAAUGUUUGUAGCCAUGUAAUUGCUUAUGAAUGCAAUGCAAGUUCGAUUUAAUAGUAAAAAGGUCUUACCUUACCAUUAUACACCAAAAUAGGAGUUCCCUAGAACUCCUCUACCUUCACACCACAUUGUGGAUAAACCAUUGAUCGUUGCAGAUAAUUGCUAACGAUAAGAUAUUAGUGGAUGAACCAUCCGUCGGUGCAGAAAAAAGCUGCUAGUACGUUGUAGAUGAACCACUAGUCGUGCAAGUGACUACCGACUAGGAUACAUUGUUGAUAAACCACUAGUCAAACAGAUAAAUUGUCGACUACUUCCUUGUUCAAAUCAUCUCACCCCAUACAAUGCAUCAAGACAUGUUAUACAAUUCAAUAUGGUAGCAAAUAGUUUGCUUUUAACAAAUCAAUUCAAUCACAAAAGUCAUGCUUACUAAGCAUUCGAUUUAAUAGUAGCAUAAGGUAUGCUUAAAACGGAUUGAAAACCGAUAUGGCAGCAAUAUUUAUGUUCUCAACUAAUCGAUACGGUGGCCAAACAUAUACUUUUCAAAAAGAAUCCAAUCUAACGAUAUCUUAAAACAUGUUAUACAAAUAUCAACAAAUAAAGAUUCAAUCAACACAAUUAUACACAAUUUAUGCAAGUACAAACUAAUAAAAAAAUAAUUCAGUCAAUUAGGGCAUGUAUUAUAGCAUUAUUUAUGUUAUUAGGGGCUUAAUUGAAUAAAUUAAACACUAAAAAUAAUUUGGGAACCAAUUAAGGACUAAAUUGUGCAGUUUGAAAAAAGUUUGGGUUAAAAUUGUAAGGAUAUAUUAUAGGGGACACACGGUCGUGUGGGUCACAUGGGCGUGUGGUCUGGGCUGGGUUCGAUUUUGCCCCAAUUUUCUAACAAAAGAACACACAUAUAACUUUUGAGGUCUCGUACGAUGAUCCUUAUGUCCAAAAUUGGUCUGGGAUACCUACAAUGGGUCUUUCAAUCGACGAAAAUGUAAUAAUUACUAUUGAUGUUUAAGAUUUAUUGAGUUUUAACAAGAUUUCAGGAAAACCCAUCAAAGAUUCAGAAUUGAUUUUAGAAAAAUUAUCAAGAACGAUAUUAUACUAGAUUUCUAGGGUUCUACAAAAUUAAAAAUAGGAAUUCUUACUGAUCUUGGCAUGUUAGAAACAGAUUUUGAUGGCUUUACACUAAAACAUUAUGAAGAACAGAUUGAACGAGGUUGAUUUUGUGUACAGGAUUUGAAUAUAACAUUUUCAACAAAAGAUGAUGAACAUUUUUAUGAAAAAGAGAAGAAGUAAUAAAAAAAAAGAUGUAUUUAAAAAGGAGGGAAAAAUAAAUUCUAAUUAGGUUUGAAAAGAUAGCCAAAAUCCUAAUAUAACUAGGAAAUGACUUAAAAGGCUAAGUUAUGCAAAUUUUAGGGGCUGUUUUGGCAAAUAAACCUUCAUGUUGAAAUUUAAAACAAAAGGAAGGGAAUUGGCAUGGAUAGAACUUAAGACUUUAAAGAGGAUGGGGUAAUGCUUAGCCAUUGGUCUAUUGCACAUUUCUUAAAUAUUUUCUACCACAUUUAUUUUUUAUACUAACUUAGUUUUCAUCCUUAAUUGCUGAAAAAUAAAAAGGAAAAAUGCAAAAGGUGGGUUAGUGAAACCUAAAGGGGUCAUAUUGUGAUUUUUGAGUUAAGAUUAGGAAAUUAUGCUAUGUAAUUUGUUCUAGUUAAGUGGUUAAGGGUUGUGCUUGAGUGAGAAAGGUUUUAGGUUUGAAUCCUUUCGCUUCUAUUUUUGUAAAUUUUGUCUAAAUCCCUAGUUUUUGGUAUUUGGUUUAAGAAAUAUUUGGGUGCAUCUAUUAAUAAGAAUGAGUCUAUUGGUUCAAUGGUAAGAUGUUAGCUUACCUUUUGGUCUUGUGUUCAAAUCCAUUCAUGCUUUUUUUCUCUCUUUUUUUUUUCUUUUGUUAAUUUGUGUAUCAUUCGUCCUUUGUGCUAUCAGUUUUAGUCAUUAAGGGUAAGGUUGCUUCAUUCUCCAUUUUUCCAGUCAUGUAUUGAAAUUAUUUCACUUGGCGUUUGAGGUUUCAGAGCUUUAGUAGUGUGGUAUUAAUAUGUGUUUUGUGUACUUAAUGAGUUUGAUGCAUUUUUAGAAGAAGAACGAGAGGUGUUGAGUGUUCCUUCGACAACUUAGAUAUUGUUGUUGUUUUCUUUAUGGUAGGUGCUUUAAUGUUAUGUUAGUGAGUCAAUCUUGAUUUAGUGUUGCAUUUUGUUACUAAUUAGAUACGUUUGGUAUAUUGCUUUUAGGUUCUGGUGUGUUUUUUCGUGAAUCUACAUCAAAAUCAGCAAUCAGGCGUGCGAUCUAACUCGAAAAACUCGUCGAAAAUUCAAAAAAUGCAAAACAAGAUCGACUGAAAUGCUUCAAUUCCACUAGUACUGAAAACUGAUACCUUUGUUGACGAAAGCGUAACCGAAAUCGAACAAGACGUAUUAAAACAGUAGAGAACGUAACACAAAAUUGGUGUCAAGAGAACUGAUUUUCAGAAGCAAUCGUUCAAUUUUGAAAAUUAGAAGAAAGAAAACAAGAUUGUCUAGUCAAAAGAAAGAAGAGAAAAGAAAACAAAAAUAGAAAAUGUGGGAUGGGGAAAAAAACAAAACGUGCAACAUUUGGGGGACUUUUUCUUUCCAACACAAAAUUAAAAUAAUAAAACUAAAAAUAAUAACUAUUUUAAUACUCAAAAACAAAAAUUACUUCCUUAAAGCACAUAUGAGGAUUCGAACCCAAAACCUAGAGGUAAAUCAACACAUAACCAACUACUGAACCAACAGGCUCAUUCUAACAUUAAAACGCGACUACAGACUCAACUACUCAGCCUACUCACUGACCCUACUACAAACCCCAAAACUUCUAACCCCAAAUUUCGGGAUGUUACAGUUAAACCGCAAUAUAUAUUUGGCAGCUCAGCUGCACUAUUAUGAGUGGCAUACCACCACGAUCUGGUGUGAUUUGGAUGAAUGGACUAUUGAAGUCCUAAUUGGUGUGAUUGGUUGGACGGAGUUGGUAUGUAGCAAAUAGAGGUAAGAUUUGUGUCUGCACUUGUUCUGAUUUGGUAUGACAUAUGUACUUAUGAAAACAUGACAUUCUGGUAUGAUAUAUUUGUAUAUUAAAUUAAGAUAUUCCAAACCAAAAUAUGUUCCAGUUAUAUGAUAUUAUGAUCUAAAAUAUAUAUAUGUUUCUGGUAAUACAACAUUCUGAUAUGUUAUUGAUACAUUAAAGUAAAAUUUUGUGAUCACAUUUAUGUAUGUGCUUGUUAAAUAAAAUUAUACUUGUGGGUUGAGGUACACACUAUGCUCCUAGCUCAUUUGUAUGUUUAAUAUGUUUCAGGUUAACUUCUAACUCAGGACCGUACGGCGUGCGGGAGCUCGAAUUGGUUACCAAAUAAAAUAUUUGUGGGUUUAUGAUUUAAUUAAUUUUGGACUGUAAUAUGUUUUUGGUCUUCGUUUUAUUCGUCGACAUUUAAUAUUUUUGAGCAUUAAACUGCAAAUCACACGAGCUAACAAGUUAGAUUUUGGUUUUCAAAACUAAAACAAACUUUGAAAAUAUUCCGCUGCAAGGUUAAGUAAUCAUUUAAAUACUUUUUGAAAAUAAAAUAUAUGGUUUGUAACGAAUAAUUUUUUUAAUACUGGAAAUGAUCACCUCAUGUUAGUACUUUCAAAACGUGUGAUUUUGAAUGUGAAUUAUGGGUUUUAAAUAAGUGUUUUCGAACACAGUUUUUCUAACCAUCUAUCGGUGUUUUGUCAAAAUUUUAUGUUUUCGAAGCAUGCAUUGAGUUUGAUUUGAACCGAAGCUUUGAACGAGUUGAUGUAAUCCUUUAGUAUCUAGUCAUAACUUCUAGGCCGGGUUUUGAGGUGUUACAACCCAAGCAUGUUGUUCUUUUUAGACUUCAGUUGAAUCCCUAUCAAGCCCACCAAAAUUUCUUCUUAACCAACUCAUAUCUAUCUAGGCUCCAAAGUCGUCUCUAGAACCCUUCUUAAAAGUUCCUCGCGUACGUCUCUCCAAUCGACUGCUUGAACUGACACAGUCACUUCCAGCCCAUCCACCGGUAACCUAAGCUAUAGUUGCAUGUCCUCCAAAGUGAUAGUACACACACUGCAUGGAAGGUGAAAUGUGUGCGUCUCUAGUCUCCACCUUUUCACCAACGCGUUUAAGAGUGUCGGGUCCAACUUACACCCCUUACCUACAAGCGCCACGUGCAAAAAUCGACGUCUCCAAAAUUUGAUAUUCUUCCUAUUGAGGUAAAAAAUAUACAAAAUAUUAAAUUCAAAUAUAAUAACAAAAUAGUAAAAUUAAACAACAUUGAAAUAUAAUAAAAAAUAUUCUUACCAUUUACAAUCGGUCGACGAAAAUGUGGUUGUCAUCAAAACGAAUUAGAGAUUUUGUUAUUGCUAAUUUCGAAAAACGCUAAAUAAUUUGUAAUAGAAAAAUAAUUUAUGAAAAUAUUAAGAUAAUUUUAAUAAAAAGUAAAGUUGAGAGAGAAAUAAUUUUUGAGUGGGAAUUGAAGAGGGAAUUUAGAAAAAUUUGAGAGAGAUUUAAGAAUGUGAGAGAGAGUUGAGAUAGAAUUGGAAGAAAACUGAAAUGAGGAGGGGUUAUAUAAGAAAUAAAAUGGGACCGUAAGGGGUGAGUGGGGGGUCCAAUGGCUAAUUAAAUAGUCGUUGGAGAAAGUAAUCAUUGGAGUUAUCGUUGGGAGAAAACGCUUCUAGCUAGAAGCUUUUUCAGUUGAUUUGGAAGAAAGCACUCUCAGUUGGAAGUGUUUUUCGGGCAACACAUUGAAAAUGCUUCGAACUAGAAGCGCUUUUCUGUAAAUUAGCUAAAAACACUUAUAGCUGGGAUUGUUUUUGUAAAAUUGACCUACUCCUAUAAUUUUUACAAAGACGACCUAUUCAAGUAAUUUUGCUUUUAGGCAUUUUUGGAUAAUUUAGUCCAAAUCCAUAAUUUUGACAUUGGAAUUUUUGAAAGUCUAUGGUAUGAGUUUGAAAUUUCAAAAACUCUAUUGUUAUUUAUAGUGAAUUUUGAGGAAAAGAACUUUCUAUAUAAUAAAAAAAAAAUUAACAAGUAUACUUAUGUUUGUCUCUAAAAUUUGCAAACAAAUAAAUAAUAGAAAAUACACCUUAAAUGUAUAAAAAUGAAUAAAGAAAAACCAUUUUCAUUUCUAAUAACAAAUGAAAAUUAAGAACAAGAAACUGAAGAAAAGUAGAUAUUUUAAAUGUAGUGAAAAUCAUCAUAUAAAUAAUUAAAACAAAUCAAUUAUUGAAACUUGAUGGAAAAUAUAUGACACAAAGACUUUCACUUUUUUCUAAGUCGUCCUCUAUCAUUUCAUGUCAUGUGGCUGUUAAUUCCCAAACAAAUGCAUGGGUCAUUGGCAAACCAAUUAGCACCAACUUGUUGCAAAGGAAGAUUCCCCUUUCCUUUUCAAUCCACUAAAAUACAAUUGAGAAAAAAAAUCCUCAUAAUUUAGAUCCAAUACUGCACUAAUCUCAUAACACAAAUCCUUUGGCUAAUAAACAAAGAAAACCCAGUUGUGUUAGAGUUUAUGCUUUCCAAGUGGUUGAAUCUUCCAGGCAGAUAAACUUUCAGAUUCCAUUUCUGUCUGAAAGUUUCUCCUUAUUUUAGUUCAACCUUGAUUUCUAUUUUGUUCCUUUUUCUUCUUCUUUUUUUUUUUAAUUUCCCUUUCUUCAAGUUCCUUUCUUUUUGUAUUAAGUUCUACUUACUUUUGCUCAAAAAAAAAGAAAAAAAAAAACCAACCUUCAAAUCCCUUUUGAUUAAUUUGAAGUAGUAAGAAUCUUCUCAAGACUAAGUGUAGUUUGAUUAAUUCUGAAGUUCCCAAUUGAGGUAAAUCUAUUUACAUUUGUGUUUAUAGGGUUUAGGGUUAAUUUCGAGGAAUGAAAAUUUGAACUCACUUUGUAUAAACUAUGAAAUUUUGAUCUUAUUUAUUGUUAAUUUCGAGGAAUGGAAAUUUUAACAUUUCUAAAAACAAAUGAAAAUUAAGAAAAAAUAUAUCAUACAAAUAAUUGAAACACCUCUUCAAAUAAAUUACCAAAUCCACUAAAGCAAUCACCAAAACUUCAAGAGCAUAGAUUUGUUCUUUUGUACCAUAUAAUCCUAAUAACUCUCAUUCUAAAUUGAUGGAUUAACUUUAAAUCAUUUUUAUUAUAUUUUUAAAUCAAUUAAGUUUUUCUUACUAAAAUUAUUAAUUUAAUGGUAAAUUUUUUUUCCAAUUUCUCUCAAAUUUGAAUUUGAGUAAAUUAGUCUCAUUAGAAAAAAUUGGAGUAACUUAAUCCCUUUACAAUUUUGAAUUUGAACAAAUUAGUCUAUCUCAAAAAAGAAAUUGGAGCAAUUUAAUCAUUAUCAAUUUUGAAAGUGAGUAACUAAGGACAAUUAAUCUCACUGUUAAUGUUUUUCAUCAAUUAUGCAUAAUUUUGAUUGGUAUAAUAACAAAUUUAGCCAUUGGUGUUUACAUAUUUUGUUAGUUUGGUCUUGAUUGUAAAAAGACCAACAAAUUCAGUCUCAACAUUUACACAUUUACAAAUAUAGGGGUUAAAUUUGUUAAAUCAUAAUUAAAUUGAUAGAAUGCUUUAGUUCCUCACUUUCUAAAUUGAUUCAAUUUUUAAGAGAGACCAAUUUGCUCGAUAUCAAAAUUGAUAGGGACUAGAGAGGUCAUCUUACCCAGUUUAAUCAUUAAAUGAUAUGUUACAUCUAAUAUGACAUAAUUUAAAAUGAAAAUUAAAAGAAUGAAUAUUGUAAAAGUAGAUGUUUUAAAAACCUUAGUUUUCAAGUUUUCGAAAUUUUUACAGAAGCAUUAUCAUUAAAUUUUUUUUAAAGUUUAGUUUUACUUAAAUUUUUUAAUGUUAAAAGUUAAAUAACAUUUAACUACAUAAGAUCUAAUGCGUGAUUUAAAGAUUGAAAUAACAAAAAUGACCUGAAUGAUAUAAUAUCGAUAAUUUAGAUCCCAACUUCAACAAUGCCUUGUUAAAAGUUAAGUAACAUGCCUUGUUGGUCUUUUUUGCAAACCAAUCAGUACCAACUUCAACAAUUUAGAUCUCAAUAUUGCAGUAAUUUCAGAACACGAAUCCUUCGGCUACAAGAAAACUCAGUUUUUAGUGGCGGAGCAUUGUAGAAAUUCAGGGGUCAUACUGAAAUAGUAAAAUUUUCCGAGCGGUUGAAUUUUCCAGGCAGAUAAACUUCAAUUUCUACUUGUUUAUUUUCCCCCUUUCUUCGAGUUCCUUUCUUUUUGUAUUCAGUUUUACUUACUUUUGCUAUAAAAAAAAAAACCAACCUUCAAAUCCCUUAUGAUUGUUUUGAAGUAAGAAUCUUCUGAGCACUAAGUGUAUUUUGAUUUUAAAAGUUCCCAAGUGAGGUAAAUCUAUUUAUAUAUGCUUCAUUUCUGUUUUUUAUAUAUAAAUUGUUCUCAUCUUUUUAUAUUUUUGUUGAAGCAAGUAAGAGCUAAAAGACUGUUUGGAUUUUGAAAUGGUAAGUGGAUAUGUUUAUUAUAUUUUCCAGCAUUAUACGUAUAAUAUUAUUAGUUUGAGGGUACAAAUAUUUUGAUUUAUUAUUUUUAUAAGUAAUUAACUGUCUUUUUUAGUUAUAAUUAUAUGACAUUACACUCCUAUAUGAUUUUAUUUGUUUAUUAAAUUUCUCAUUGUGUUUUUAUUUGUUGAAAAAACAGCACAUUUUGUGUUGUGCUUUCAGUUAGAAUGAGUUGAAAGAACAGCCCAUUGAUUCUCAUAGUUUGAGUUGUCUUUCACCUUCCUUGGUAUGUAUAAGAAGUAGUAUCUUAAUCUUCAAAAUACUUUUUGAUUCUUUAAUUUUUUUUAAUGGUAAUUACUUGUGAUUCACUGCGGUGUUUGAACUAGGAACAUCAUCAUAUUCUUCAAUUUGAGCUUGUCAAGCAUGGGUUGCGGAUUUUGUGGGGCUGCUCUUCCUAACAUCUUUGCAACACUGGUUGUGGACUGUGUGGUGAAGCCGCUAGUACGUUAAUUUGAUUAUGUCCGUCACUUUCAUGACAAUGUUGAAAAGCUCCGAGAGAAAAAGCAUGAACUUGCAGAUGCACGAGCUCGUCUACUACAUAAGAUUAAGGAUGCUAAAAGCCAGCUUCUACAAAUUGAAAAUGAUGUACAAAACUUGCAAUCAAGGGCAGACGAAACACUGUCGGAUAUGGGAACUCUGGAAGAGGAAAUCCAACUGAAUAAGAGGUGUCUCAAUUGGUGUCCUAAUUGUAGUUGGAGAUAUCAAUUAAGCAAGAAAGCAAUGAAGAAAAUCCAGGAUAUCUCUGAGCUUUUGAACAAAUUUGUCAACUUGGACCAGUCAGUUACCGUGCUCCUCUGCCCUUCCCACUGUAGGCUUCCUGUGUUCUAAGGAAUUUGUGGUUUCGAAAUCUUCGAAGGCUGCUUUCAAACAAAUCAUUGAAGCCUUAAAAUAUGAGAAUAUCGACAUGAUUGGGUUGUGGGGGAUGGGAGGGUGUUGAAGCUGAUCUCCAUGCAGCUGGUAUGAAGAAUGUGUAGCUAGAAGUUGGCCAUGCAAGCUCGUGACAAGCAUGCAGCAACUUUGGUUUCUUAUUGCUGUUGGAUUUGAACUAAUGUUUUGUUAUUUUGUAAUCUAGUUUGUAUCUUCAACUUAGUUGGUAAUUUUUUGAUGUAAUCCAUUGAUUGAUUGAUUAAUUGAAAUUUUAGCAAUACAACUUGGACGAUUAACUUAGCUAUUUUCAAUGUAAUAGAAUGGGGUUAGGUAUGUAAUUUGGUAGUCUUUUUGACUUGUACACUUCAUCUUUAGUUUUUCAUAUGUAAUGGAAAUAUGCUGAUGAUGUAUUAUGUAAUUACACAUCUUUUUCAUCAAGUUUUCUCAACUAAUUCCAUUGCUUCUUCUUCUGUUUUCUUUCUUCUUCUUUUCUUUUUGCUCGAAUUCUUCUUGCUUGGUUAGCAAGAAUCGUGACUUGCUGCUAAAGCUAUAGCUGGACCAGUUUCUUGCACGCUCAUUGACACCAACAAUUGGUAUCUAGAGCCUUUGUCUUAGAAGACCUGUGGUGUGUAAACCAUAACUCAAAUGGCUUCCUCAAGUUUUUCUCCUGCAGCUCCACUAGUCUUUAGUGGUGAAGGCUUCCAUAUUUGGCUGGUCAAGAUGAAAACAUACCUUCAGGCGUUUGAUCUGUGGGAAGUGGUGAACUCGGAUGCUGAGCCUACUCCAUUGAGGGCCAAUCCCACUGUGGCUCAGAUGAGGCAACAUGUAGAUGAGAGGACCAAGAGGCAAAAGGUCAUGUCCUGUAUUCAGAACUCUGUUUCUGAUGUGAUCUUCACCAGGAUCAUGACAUAUGAGACCCCGAAGCAGGCUUGGGACAAGCUGAAGGAGGAAUUCCAAGGCACUGAGAGGACUAGGCAGCAACAGCUUCUAAAUUUGAGAAGGGAUUUCGAGAAUUUGAAAAUGAAAGAAGAGGAAACUGUCAAGCAAUACUCUGAUAGGAUAAUGGCUAUUGUAAACAGUAUAAGGCUCCUUGGUGAGCAGUUUGAUGAAGUAAGGAUAGUUGAGAAGGUUCUCUCUACUUUACCAGAGAUAUAUGAAGCAAAAAUAUCCUCCUUAGAGGACUCGAAGGACUUGACAAGGAUCUCCCUGACUGAGCUUAUCAAUGCUCUCUAUGCUCAAGAGCAAAGAAGAGCCAGCAGGAUAGAGGAGCAUCAGGAGGGUGCAUUUCAGGCCAAAGUCAAGCCUAACUCGAGUAAUGCUGCCUAAAAAGGCAAGAAGAAUUGGAGGGAUAGGUCCAAAAUAGAUGCUCCAAGAAAAUGGGAUAGACCGUGCAGGCAUUGCAAGAAGCCUGGUCAUCCAGAGGCAAAAUGCUGGUUCAAGCCAGAUGCCAUAUGUCAACAUUGCAAGAAAAUAGGCCAUGUUAAAAAGGUGUGCAAAGAAAAAGACAGACCUGGUCAGAAUCAACCACAACAUAAGGCUGCUGAGGCUCGUGUAGCUGAACAAGGCAGUGAUAGUGAAGAACAAGUGUUUGCAGUCUCAUGCUUAGCUGAAAAAUGGAAGGUUACAAAAGGGUGGCUCCUUGACAGUGGCUGCACCAACCACAUGUCACCAGAUGCAUCAAUCUUCAAAUCUUUAGACAGAAGCUGUAAGACUAGAGUAAAAAUUGGAAAUGAACAAUGUAUUCAGGCAGAGGGCAAAGGUAAUGUGAUGAUAUGCACUCCAUCAGGUAACAAACUCAUAUCAGAUGUAUUGCUUGUACCUGAAAUCGAUAGAAAUUUGUUGAGCAUAGCUCAACUACUUGAGAGAGGAUAUACAGUGCUCUUUAAAGGAAAUAAGUGCCAGAUUAGUGACCAAAAAGGGUCCAUACUCAUGACAGUAGCCAUGACUGACAAGAUUUUUAUUGUGGACUGGAACAAUGGGCUAGAUAGCGUCUAUGCUGCUUCCAUAGAAGAAUCCAAGCUUUGGCAUCAAAGGCUUGGUUAUGCCAACUUUAAAUCAAUGGCCCGAAUGAUUAGCAAGGAUAUGGCUGAAAAUUUCAUCAAAUUAGUCCAAAAUGAAGAUGUUUGUGAAGUUUGUCAGUUGGGAAAGCAAGCCAGGCUUCCAUUUCCUACAAGAACAGCUUGGAGAGCCUCAGAGAAGCUUCAAUUAGUGCACACUAAUGUGUGUGGCCCCAUGAAGAUCGAGUCACUCAAUGGCAACAGGUACUUCAUUCUUUUCAUUGAUGAUAGUACCAGAUACUGCUGGAUUUACUUCUUAAAGAACAAGUCUGAAGUAGUUCAAGCCUUCCUGAAGUUCAAAACAGCAGCUGAGACAGAGACUGGCUGUACACUAAGGUCAAAAAGAUCAGACAAUGGGACUGAAUAUACUUCAGUUCAGUUCCAAGACAUUUCUGCAAGAGCUAGCAUCAAACAUCAACUAACAAAUGUGUACACACCUCAACAAAAUGGGGUAAGUGAAAGAAAAAAUAGAAGCCUGCUAGAUAUGGCCAGAUGCAUGAUAUUUGAGAAGAAUUUGCUCAAAAACUUAUGGGCUGAGGCAGUUAACACUGUUGUUUAUGUUCAAAAUAGACUUCCAACCAAAGCCUUAGAGCAAAAGACUCCAUUUGAGGCCUGGUUUGGAUUCAAGCCAUCACUGGCUCACUUAAGAAUCUGUGGUUGUUUAUGUUUUUCACAAAUACCAGCUGUUAAAAUAAGUAAGUUAGACAAAAAAGCACAAGCAGGCAUCUUGGUAGGUUAUAGCUCAGAGAAAAAGGGCUACAGGAUUUUGGAUCCUUCAACGAACAAGGUUUUUGCAAGUAGAGAUGUUGUGUUCAAUGAAAGAGCAAGCUGGAAUUGGGACAAGAAUGAACCUGAGGCUGUCUCUGAAGAUCUUGUGUUUGAUCAGAUUGAGCCAGAACAAAAUGAUCCAGAUAUGGAUUUUGAUGAUGUACCAAUCAGAGGUACCCGAUCUUUGGCUGAAAUCUAUGAGAGGGCACAUGUAGCCUUAGUAGAGCCAACAUGUUUUGAAGAGGCUGCAAUGCAUGAAGGCUGGAAACAGGCAAUGGCAGAUGAAAUUGCCAUGAUCGAAAAGAACCAAACUUGGGAGCUGGUUGAGAAGCCUGCUAACAGGAAAAUUAUUGGAGUGAGAUGGGUCUACAAGGCAAAGCAGAAUGCUGAUGGAAGUUUGAAUAAACUGAAGGCUAGUGUAACACCCCUAGCCCGAGUCCGAUCACCGGUUUAGGCUAUGAGGUAUUACCAAGCUAAACAUUUAAUUUCAGGCACAUAAUCUAUCAACAAAAGCAGAAAUCGAACUGAAUACAUACAGAUUUAUAAGUUAUAAAUGCCAAUUUCAUAUGGCCAAAAUAUUUACAAUACAAAACAUAACUAUCACCAGCCUAACCUAUACAUAUUUAUUUACAAUGAAUUCAAUUCACAUAACAUCUCAAAAUUUUGGUUCAUUUACUCAUUCGAAUGGUGAUAUGCCAUGCACCAACUAUAUAACUUUUUGCUAUAAGCUUGAAGCAUAAUUUAUUCGUCAUACAGCUAUAUUCAAAAGAAUCAAUUAAGUAUAGUACAGUUAUUAUUCACAUAUUAAGACAUUAUCAAGAUGUACUAAAUGUGACUAUCCGAACUUACCUCGGUAUAUUGGGACGGUUGUGGAUUGACUACUCUAUAGCUUUCUCUUUUCCCUUAUCCAACUUUGAUCCCCCUUGCUCUUGAGCUUAAUAAAUACAAAUAGAGGUGUUUAAUAUUUUGACCAAUUCUGUUUACUUAUUAUUCACAUUCGGUAAUCACAUAUCAAACUCGUUAUGUAUUAUAUUUUGUAAAUAUGCCAUAGUUCAAUUUCAUAUAUAUAUUCAUGACCAAAAAUGGCAAGAAUUUAUCAGGCCAUGAAAGUCACUUAUAACUCAAACUCAAAAUGACCAUAUGACAUUAAUAAACGAUUAUUCAACUUAUACCAAUUUCACAUUCACAAGCCAAACUCACAUAGCCUAUCUUUUUCUUUUUUUAUACACUAGUUUAACUACUACAAUAUUACCAAAUAAAUCACAUAUAUGCAGCACUAUACAAUUCACAUAUACAUCAACUAUCAAAAUUUUCACUCCUUAGCUAAUGCCGAAACAUUUGUUUAAAGAGGACCUAGCCGAACACCCUACUUAGUAAAAAGAAUCAUACAAAACACUAAUAGCCAACUCAAAUUCAUCUUUAAUAACUCUUCUUUAAUCAAGCACAUAUUCGGCAAGAACAUUGGUAAUUUAACAAAUUUUAAUUUAACACCUAAUUCUUUAUAACACAUUUUAAGCACCCCUUUUUACUCCAUCAAUUUUAAGCAUAUACAUUACUCAAACAUAACCAAAUUCACAUUCGGUCAUAGCACAUAACAAGAUAGCCGAUUAUUUUCCCUUAGCAUCUAAUGCUCCCAUAUGAUCAUUUGUAUAGUUCAAACACUCAUCUACCAUUAUUCAUCUAAAUUUACAUGAAACAACAACCAUAACCUUUAUUAACUACUAUGGCUGAAAGCUCUAAUCAUUCCCAAAAUAAAAAAUUCAACAUGGGUUACAAAAAGAACUUGGUAUCUAACUCAAGAUUAACCAAAAUUUCAAGAAUUAACAUAAACUUCUCACCUUAAUGUAGACCUAAGAUGACCGAAUGGCUUUUCUCCCCUCUUCCUCUUUACAUUCGGCCAAGAAGAACAAAGAUGAAGCUUUGUUUUCAUUACCCAUUUUCCUUAUUAUUAUUAUUAUUAUUAUUAUUAUUAUUAUUAUUAUUAUUAUUAUUAUUAUUAUUAUUCCUUUAUUUUAUAUAAAGCAUAAAACCAUUUAACUAAAAAUUAAUACAUAUUUUAAUAUGAAAUCAUCAUCAUAGCCGGCCACUAUUAACAAAAAGGGGUAUUUGACAUGCAAGUCCAAGUUUUUAUAACAUGCAUUAAUGGACCACUUUUAAAAUUACCUAUCACAUUUCACAAUUGUCUCACAUAAGUACUAUUAAAUAAAUUCACAUUCAAAUGGAUAAAUUAAAGAUUGGAACUUUCACACAUGCAUGUUCACGCACAAUAAGUAUAGAAAAUAAUGGUUAAUUAUUUUUAUGACUCGGUUUUGUGGUCCCGAACCCACUUUCCGACUAGGGUCAAUUUAGGGCUGUCACAGCUAGGCUGGUGGUAAAAGGAUUCAGUCAAAAAUAUGGACUGGAUUACUUUGAAACAUAUGCUCCUGUUGCCAGACUAGAUACAAUCAAGCUGAUUGUUGGGUUUGCAGCUCAGAUGAACUGGAACAUACAUCAACUUGAUGUAAAAUCAGCUUUUCUAAAUGGAAUCCUUGAAGAGGAGAUCUAUGUCGAGCAACCAAAGGGAUUUAAAGUACCAGGGAAGGAAGACUUGGUUCACAGACUAAGGAAUGCCUUAUAUGGCCUAAAACAAGCCCCCAGAGCAUGGUAUGCUCGAAUUGACUCUUAUCUGCUCAGUUUGAAGUUCGAAAGAAGUGCUAGUGAGCCAACAUUGUAUGUCAAGAAAAACAAAACUGAAACUCAGCUUAUGGUGUCAUUGUAUGUGGAUGACUUAUUGGUGACAAGAGGAGAUGAAGUUGAUUUGGCAGAAUUCAAGACAAAGAUUAUGCAAACGUUCAAAAUAACUGACCUGGGGCUGAUGACAUACUUCCUAGGAAUGGAAGUAAGCCAGAAACAAGGAAGAAUCUUCUUGAAUUAGAAGUCAUUUGCAUUGGAAGUGUUGACAAAGUUUUCAAUGCUUAAUUGUAAGCCAACUCCUACACCUAUUGUAGCUGGGUUAAAAUUAUCAAGCCAAGAGGGUCAUGAAGAAGGCUGUAAAACUACCUAUAGAAGCUUGAUUGGUUGUCUCUUAUACUUGACUGCAACGAGACCAGAGAUCAUGUAUGCAGUAAGUUUACUUUCUAGAUUCAUGCACUGCUGCAAUGUACAACAUUUUCAAGCUGCAAAACGAGUACUGAGAUACAUUAAAGGUACUCUAAGUUAUGGUCUCCUAUUUAGCAAGGCUAAGGAACUGAAAUUGAAAGGGUAUACAGAUAGUGAUUGGGCUGGUUCCAAUGACGACAUGAAAAGUACAUCGGGGUAUGCCUUCACAUUGGGGUCAGCAAUGGUCUGUUAGAGUUCGAAAAAGCAGUCUUUAGUGGCUCAAUCGAUAGCUGAGGCUGAAUAUGUAGCUGCUGCUAGUGCAGUAAAUCAAGCCAUUUGGCUAAGGAAAAUCUUAUCAGAUUUGAACCUUUAUCAAAAGGAAGCAACAGAGAUACUUUGUGACAACAAGUCUGCUGUUGCAAUUGCAAAGAACCUUGUCUUCCAUGGUAGAACUAAGCACUUUGACAUAAAGUUGCAUGUGAUAAGGGAAAUGGAGCAAGCUUGUGAAAUAAAGCUGGUUCAUUGCAAUUCGGAGGAUCAAACCGCUGACAUUUUGACCAAGGGUCUUUGUGCAUCGAAAUUUAACAAGCUAAGAAGACUUAUGGGUGUUUGCAGCAUGGAGCUCAAGGAGAAAUGUUGAAGCUGAUCUCCAUGCAGCUGGUAUGAAGAAUGUGCAGCUGGAAGUUGGCCAUGCAAGCUCGUGACAAGCAUGCAGCAACUUUGGUUUCUUGUUGCUGUUGGAUUUGAACUAAUGUUUUGUUAUUUUGUAAUCUAGUUUGUAUCUUCAACUUAUUUGGUAAUUUUUUCAUGUAAUCCAUUGAUUGAUUGACUGAAAUUUCAACAAUACAACUUGGACAAUUAACUUAGCUAUUUUCAAUGUAAUAGAGUGGGGUUAGGUAUGUGAUUUGGUAGUCUUUUUGACUUGUACACUUCAUCUUUAGUUUUUCAUAUGUAAUGGCAAUGUGCUGAUGAUGUAUUAUGUAAUUACACAUCUUUUUCAUCAAGUUUUCUCAACUAAUUCCAUCGCUUCUUCUUCUGUUUUCUUUUUUCUUCUUUUCUUUUUGCUCGAAUUCUUCUUGUUUGGUUAGCAAGAAUCGUGACUUGCUGCUAAAGCUAUAGCUAGACCAGUUGCUUGCAUGCUCAUUGACACCAACAGAGGGGUGGGCAAGACCACCUUGGCUCGUGAAGUUGGAUGUCAAGCUCCAAAACUGAAUUUGUUUGACAAAUUUGUGAUUACGACUGUGUCUCAAAAGCCAAAUCUUGAGAGAAUUCAAGAUCAAAUUGCACAAUACAUAGGCUUUGAUAUGAAGAAUGAACGAGGAAGAAGAUCCGAGCAAGAAUUAUGGUUAAGGCUGAAGAAUGAACCGAGGAUUCUUGUCAUCCUUGAUGGUACAACUUGACUGUUUGGAUGAUGAUGAAGCUUGGACUCUGUUUGAAAAAAAAGCAGGUCUAAAUGACUUUUCUGAUGAUUCUAUUAAAAUCCUAGCAAAUCAAAUUGUCACAAAAUGCGGGGGUUCGCCUAUAGCUAUAGUUCCGUUGGGAAGUGCCUUAAAAGGUAAAACCCAUCAUGAGUGGCAAGUUGCAAACCGGAGACUCAAAGAUCGUAGAUUGACUGAAAUUGAGGAUGUUAAUGAAGAAAAUGCCUAUGUAUGUCUUGAGGCUAGCUUCGACUACUUGAAGAAUAUGGAGACCAAGACAUGUUUCUUGUUGUGCUCUUUAUUUCCUGAAGAUGAUGAGAUUUAUGUGGAGAACUUGGUAGGAUAUGCAUGGGGACUGGAGUUGUACUCAAUUAAAGAUGUUAGAAGUGAAGUGCUUGCAUCAAUUGAGACCCUCAAGAGCUCAGGUUUGUUGCUAGAUUGCGGAGAAAGGCAUGUCAAAAUGCAUGAUGUGGUUUGCCAAUUUGCUUUGUGGAUAGCAUUUUCAAGAAAGGAGAUAUCUUUUGGGACUGUUGAAACACUCCUGAUGGAUGAAAGUUUCAAGCAUUACACAGCAAUCUCCUUCGAAACUGAUCAAACGGAUGAACUUCCUAAAGGAGUGGGUUUUCCAUACCUCAAACUUCUUUUAAUUGGCAGUUUCAUGGAAUGUUCAAGCAAAUUCUUUGAGGGUGUGAAAGCAUUACAAGUUUAUGCUUUGGAAGAUCAUAUCUCUAGAUGCGUUUAAGUUUAAUAUGAACAUUCGAAUUUUGUGUUUGAUUGAUUGUGAACUCUCUGACAUCUCAAUGCUUGGGAAGCUAAAGACACUUCAUAAUCUCUCUUUAAGUCAAUCUGAUAUCACUGAAUUGCCGACUGAAGCUGGUGAUUUGGAAAAUCUAAGGCUGUUGGAUUUAUCGCAUUGCUAUGAACUAUGAAGAAUCGCUCCUAAUUUAAUACGAAGAUUGUCCAAUUUAGAAGAACUAUACUUGCAUGGGUGUAGUUCAUUAAAAUGGGCGACUGAGAACACAACUCAAAGAGAAAGCUAUUCUAGCCUGUCAGAGUUGGAUUUAUUACCAAAGUUGGUUGUAAUAUCAUUGGAUAUUUCUUCUAAACAUCUUCCAGAUGGCUUUGUGUUUCAUAGAUUAUGGAGCUUUGAUUUUUACAUUGGCAUUGAAAGAGAAAUGUGGUACCAAAAGGGGGAAGCUUAUCCAAUCUCAAUAUCUUUGUGAAUCAAUAACUCUGUAGAUGCAUGCAAGCAACUAUUUGAAGAUGUAGAAUCUCUUCAAUUGAAUGAUGUGGAGGGUCACCCAAACCUUAUUCCGAGCUUGAACUUGAGAUUUAGUAAGUUGACUUUUCUAGAUCUUGAUUGGUGCGACUCUAUGCAAUGCCUAAUUGAUGCAUCAAAGAAACUGGUGCCAAUCACUGUAUUCUCUAAUUUGAGAAAGUUAUCAUUAAUUAAUAUGUUUGAUUUGGAAGAGAUGUGCAAUGUUCCCCAGCUGCAAGGUUUCUUACAAAAGCUUGAAGAGGUUAUAGUUUCAGAUUGUGAUAAGAUGCAAAUGUUAUUCCCAAUUGCUGAAUUGGAGAGCCUAGAACAAGAAGUGCCCAGCCGUCAUUUAAGCCUCCAAAGUCUGAAGAUCGUUGAAAUAGAGAGAUGCAAUAAUUUGAAAUAUAUCUUCCCAGUUGCUAAUAGCCCUGGGCAAUUGCAUGCUUUGAAGAUAAAGAGUUUUCGGAGCUUGGAAGGCAUAAUCCAAGACUCACAAGUGCCAUACAUAAGUAUUCAAAGUUUAAGGGAAAUUGAAGUUGAAAAAUACGAUAAUUUAAAGUGUCUCUUCCCAGUGUCUGUUGCUAAUAGCCUUGGGCAAUUGCAUACUUUGAUGAUAAAGAGUUGCCGGAGCUUGGAAGGCAUAAUCCAAGACUCACAAGUGCCAUACAUAAGCCUCUAAAGUUUAAGAGAAAUAGACACUACAUGAAAAUAGGGCUUUAGCGGCGUUUUAUCAAAAAACGCAGCAAAAAUUGUAAAACACAGAGCAAUAGCGGCGUUUUAGUAAAAAACGCCGCUAAAAACAGAGCAUUAACGGCGCUUUUGGUAAAACGCCGCUAAAGACCCGAGCAUUAGCGGGGCUUUUGGUAAAACAACGCUAAAGACCAGAGCAUUAGCGGCGCUUUUGGUAAAACGCCGCUAUAGACCAGAGCAUUAGCGGCGCUUUUGGUAAAACGCCGUUAAAAGUCAUAUAACCCCUAAACCCCAAAAAAAUCAUAAACACUAAUGUAUAACCCCUAAAAAAAUAUUUAUUAAAAUUUAUGGUUAUACAAUAUAUUAAAUAUUUUCUUAUAUAAUCGUAAAAGAGAUAGUAUUGAAUUUAAAAUAUUAAAUUAAUUAUCAUUAUAGUUUAAGGUUUAUGGUUUAAGAUAUAUGGGUUUAAGGUUUAUGAGUUAACUAUGGUUUAGGGUUUAAGGUUUAAGAGUUAACUAGUAUUUGAAGGUUUAUGAUGAAUUAUGAGUUUAGGGAUUAUGAUUUAAGGUUUAAGGGUUAGGGUUGGAGUUUAAGGUGUAAGGGUUUAGGGUUAAGGGUUUAGUGUUUAUGGGAUAUGGGUUAAGAGGUUUAGGGUUUAGAUUAAUUAGUAUUUUUUAAUUUAUAUAUUAAACGAUUUCUUAUAUAAUUGUAAAAGAGAUAAUAUUAAUUUGAAUAUAUUAAAUUUAUGAUUAUAGUUUAAAUUAUUUAAGAGAUAAUAGUAGGGUUUAGGGGUUAAGGUUUAGGGAUAAAUAUAGUGAACUACUUAACUUGUGUAUCUUGGAUUUUUUUAUAAUAUAAAUCUAAAUAAGAUAAAUAUAAAUUAUUAUUUUAAAAAUAUAUAUAUCAAAAUGGGUUAAAUCCCAAAAGCAUAAAUUAUGAACACAAUUAUUGAUAUAACAUCAUUUUAUAUUUAUAUAUUGCAUACAUAAAUAUUUAUAUUUAUUCAAUAUAAAAAUAUAUUGAUGUAUUUAUUUUUUAAAACGUGUAUGAUUAAAUUAAAAUUAAAGUUUCAACUAUACAUUUAAACCACAAUUAGAAUUUCACGUCUAAAAUUACACAUUAAAUUGAAAUUCAUAUAUAAUUAUGAGAUGUAUCUCUAUCAAAAUUUAGGUGUAUACAUAUAAUUAAAUAUAAUUUAAAUUAUUUAAGAGAUAAUGAUAAAGUUUAUAUAUAUUAAAACAAAAUAAAAGAUUUUUAAUAUAGCAAAAAGGUGGGAAAAUGGCUUUUUGUGGCAAAAUAAGCAACAGUGGCGUUUUUUAUAAAAAAACGCCGCAAAAUUUUUUGCCGCAAAAUUUUUUACAAGAAACGGUAUCUGUUACCCCAAAAUGCAUUAGACUUUUUUGUUCCCCCUUCCCCAAAAUCCCAAAAUUUGACAAGAAAUCUUUCUUUUUUCCCUCCUUUCUUUUCCCAAAAUCGGUUCCCUCCCCCUCCCAAAGAAAUCCUAAAAUUUCACUUGAAAUUUCUUCUCUUUUUUUCCCCAUUUUAUUUUUCCCAAACCAUUUCUCCCCUACCCCGAUUCCCUUUAUUUUUUCCCCCAAUUUCCCCAAAUCGGCAGGCCUCUGCAUCUCCGUCGGUAGCCCGCUGCUGUAUCUCUGUCGACAUCUGCUGUCAAGUAUAUUGAAAGGGGACCUAAGGUAUGUACUAGGAUUUUCUUUUCUUUUCUUUUUGCUUUCAUUUCAUAUUUACAGUUCUGAUUUCUUCGGUUAAUGUUCUUGAUAUUGUAUCUGUUUGCAUUUUCUUUUUAUUCAUAGGCUAAAUUGGGCUCCUUUUUUCUUGUUUAGACUCAAUGGAUUGAUUUCAAGGGUUUCUUUAACUAGUAAACUCCCCUCUCUCUCUUUGUUUACUAUCACUGUUUUUACUUGUAAUUUUCAUAUUAAUAACUAUCUCUUCAAAUGGGUUUUCUUUUCAAUUUAUAUGCCAUCGGGGAUAGACCUCUUUAGUCUUCGAAAACACUUUCCCUGAUCGUUAAUUUUACUGCAGUUGCCCAAUACCUUGAUAUCCAUGGCGAGAAAGGCAUCUUCUUUUAAAAAGAAAAAGAAAAAUAGCUUAAUUUCUUCUAUAAAAGGGUCAUAGGUUACUACUGAAAGGGGAAGAGGGCUAAACAAGGGUGCAAGAAGGAAAAGUUUUUUCUCUAAAAAGGUACUCUUGUUCUCUUUGCUUAAAUGGAAAAGAACUGAGGAGGAUAUUCUUCUUCUUUGAAAUUUAACUUUAAAUUUAUUAGGAUUUAUGUAGUUUGUUGCAGAUCUGCUAUAGUUUCAAAUUGAACAUCUGGUUUCUAAUUUAGAUCUUAUUAUCUUUUUUAUGUUUAGUUUUUUUUCUCUAAUUUAUCAUUUAUCAUUUUUUCUCUUAAAUUCUCAGAGUAUACCGUCUGCAAAACAUGGAGGGUAAUGGCAAUGAACAACCAAAAUGUCAAAGAAGUUUUGAUCAUCGUGGGAGGAAGAAUGUAAUUUGUUUUUGAAAAAGUUUCCUCUUUUCUCAUAAUUGACUACUGAACACUUUACCUCUUUUUUUGUCCUCCAUAUGCAGAAUUGCUGGGAGUUAGUUAUCCAGAUUUUAUGUAUGAUACUGGAUGAUAAUACUAUUCCGAAUAUAGUAACGUUUUCUCUUCGCUUUAUAGUUUUUCUUUUAAAUUCUUUAUUAUUAUAAUUCGUUUUCGAUAAAAUUUCAAGUAAAUAUUCCCUUCUAAAUUUAUUAUGCAGCGGUCUUGGGACAAAAAAAAAGAAGAGAAAUUAGAAGAGGCCUUGACGCAGCUGGAAGAUAUUAUGAUGAAAAAUGACUUGCUAGAGGUUGAAUCAUUUCUAAAACUGUAAAAAAAUUCAACUCAGAACGAAGAGUACUUAGUUCUUUAUUUAUUUGGGUUUGGGAUAUGAAUUGUGAGUUUUUGGUUUGUUCUUCACAAGGAUCUAUUUUAAGCUUUUGGGUUUUGUUUUUGAGUGUUUAGAGAAAGAGAAAUGGCUGGAAGUAAUGAAAUCAACCUCAACGAGUGCAAGGUACAAUAUUUUCUCCUUUUUUUUUUUCCAUUUACUCAUUGUUUAUAUUCUUUCUAGAAUUGGGUUGUCAAAGUUGAGUUCUAUAAUGAAUUCUUCAUAUAUUUGUUGUCCUCUCUUUUGCUUUUUGAUCUAACAAUAAUUAAUGCAGUCAUCUGUUUUGACAAUUAAUUUAUUAUGUUCUUCAUCAUAUAUAUGUUGUUGUGUUUAAGAUGCUAAUAAAAUCAAGGGAAAUUUCACAAAGGAGUUAUUUAAGUUAGAUGCAAGCUUAUUUCUUGAUAUGUGAAGGAAUAUAUUAUGUGGCCUAGUUAUGUAUAAAGAUUCAAUUAUAAAGAGUAUUUAGACUAUUUAUUUGAAUCUGUCUAAUUGUAUUAUUGAACUGUCUUAGUGAAUUAUGUGGUUUACUUGGUCUUUGUAGUCAAGAGGCUCAACUAGAGAUGGUACCGGAGUUCAUGACAGCAUUGUGAACCAGCUGCUUACCAAUGUCAGUAACUAGACCCAGGGACAGCUUCUUAGUCUUAAAAAUCAUUACUCUUUGUCUUGUGUCAUUUUCUUGGUUCUUGUGGUAACCAUGUCUUAUUAAUAUGACACUUUUAACUAAAGGAAUAAUUUGCUUUUCAGAUAGAUGGAGUGGAGUCUCUAAAUAAUGUUUUGCUUAGUGGAAUGACCAACAGAAAUGAUCUGCUUGAUGAAGCCCUUUUGAGGUUACUCCCUCCGUCCUCCAUCCCUCCUUUCUCUCUCCCCCCCACACACAUGCAAAAAGCAAGCUAUCUGUCUAGCUCUUUGUCACAUUGGAUCUUCCUCUAUAUAAGAAGCUUGAUUAACAACCAAAGACUAGAAACAAAAUAUUGAUGCAUUUUAUAGUUACAACAAACUGUUAGUUAUUAUGGAGAAUUUGAUGGCCUAUGAAUAAGGUUUAUACUUAUGAUCUGGAGUAAGCAUGCUGCAUUGUAAGCUAAGUAAUUUUUUAUGUGCAUAAUUUUGUGUGCUUUGCGAACUUUUUGGUUUGUGAUGGUUGAUGCAGUUACAUUAUGAACUGUCUUGUCUCUUGAUCUCAGCUAAAUCUUUGAAUACUUUUCUUCUGUAGGCCAGGACGUUUGGAGGUUCAAGUUGAGAUAAGUCUUCCUGACGAAAAUGGUCGUUUGCAGAUUCUUCAGAUUCAUACAAACAAGAUGAAAGAGAAUUCUUUUCUUGCUCCUGAUGUUAACCUUCAAGAGCUUGGUAUGUUUGUUAGUAAUUUAUGGUUGUGGGAUUUACAUUCUUUUCUUGUAUGGGAGAAUCAUCUGUUAGAAUGUCAAAAAGUGGGUUCAUUUUUAGAUAGUUUUGAUUCUUUGGCAUUUUCUUCCAUUUUUGUUACUUUGAAUUUGGUAUGAGCUUUUUGUUUUUCUUUCUUUCCAUAAAUGUAAAUGUGCUUAAAAUUUAUCUAAAAAUUCUCAUCGACAGAAAUUUUCAUAAAUUGUAUUAUCUGUUGCUGGUAGAUUGCCCAUUUAUUUAAACAUAAUAUUUAAAUUCUAAAUUUAAAUUCAUCAAUUUUUAUAUUUAGUUUUAAAGUUAAAAUUUUAAUAGAAAAUUUAAUUUAAUUAAUUUUUUUAUUUAUUUUAAGAGUAUAUAGUUUAAAGUUUCAAAAAUAAAAUAUAAUAUAGAAAAUAAAUAUUAUUUAAUAAAAAUAUAUUUUUUUAAAGCUUAUAUUCUUUAGUGGCGUUUGUGAGAAAAGCGCUGCUAAAGGUUUGUUCCGUAGCGGCGUUUGUAAAAAAGCGCCGCUGAAGGUCAUGGUCUUUAGUGGCGUUUGUGAAAAAAGUGCCGCUAAAGGUCAUGGUCUUUAGUGGCGUUUUUUUAAAUAAACGCCGCAAAAUUUUGCGGCGCCGUCUAUAGUGGCGUUUUUUGCGGCGCUUGUGAAAACGUCGCUAAAGGAAAAAAAACGCCGCUAAAAGUCUAUUUUCCUGUAGUGAGAAGUUGAAAAAUGCAAUAAUUUAAAAUACCUCUUCCCACUUUUUUUUGCUAAUAGCCUUGGGCAAAUGCAUACUUUGAAGAUAAAGAGUUGCUAGAGCUUGGAAGGCAUAAUUCAAGACUCACAAGUGCCAUACCUCCAAAUUUUAAGGGAAAUAAAAGUUGAAAAAUGCGAUAAUUUGAAGUAUCUCUUCCCACUGUCUAUUGCUAAUACCCUUGCGCAAUUACAUACUUUGAAGAUAAAGAGUUGCUCGCAAUUGGAAGAUAUAAUCCAAGAUCCACAAGUGGCAUACAUAUGUCUACUCCAAAGUCUAAGGGAAGUAUGUGUAUCUCAUUGCAAGAACUUGACAUCUGUUUUCCUUAUUGUCCUAUGGUUAAAGAUUGAGAAAUUUGAUUAUGCUUUUCAUUUCAAGUUUCGUUGAUUGGUUUGCCUCGAAGGGGUUUGAAUGACAUUAUACUCACACAAUCGUCUUUGCAAAAGUUAAAAGUGUACAAUUGUUCUCAAUUGACACAUUUUAUUAUUUCGACUAAGAUACAAAUAAGAUUUUUCUUUUUGUUUUAUAUUAUUUAUUUAUAUAUUUGUUUCUCUUUUUUUUUUAAUAAUUCGUUGUUUGAAUAGUUAUUUAAAAUAAAUUUUAUUCUAUAAUUUAUUGAAAUCUUCACCUUUUCAUAAUUUGUUGUCCAAAAUAAGUAAAUGUUUGUAUAACACUUUAAAAGAUAGUUUUCAUUUUAGAAUUUUAGUUUAAAAACUAAUCUAAAUAAACCUUUUAAGUAGUUUAGUUAAUUACAAUACCAAUUAGUAACAUAAAUAAAAUUUCAUUGAAUAAAUGGUUAAGACAUUUUAUUCUUAUGUUGCAAACUCUAUCUAGUAUGACAUAAUAUUAUUUAUGUUGUGUUUUUGCACCAUUAUUUUGGUGAUUUUUCAUUUUUUCAAAAAAAAAAUUGAAUUCUUUUGACUAUAAAAGAUUGAAAAAGAAAUCUUGGUUAAUGUUCAAACUGUAAGAAUCUAAUAAGUAAAAUAAAUUAAACCUUAAUUCUUUAAAAAAAAAGUUAAAAUAGGAGUUACAUAAGAAAAUGAAUUAAUAAAAUGAUAGGUGAGAUGUUAAUCGCUUUGAAUACUUUGAAAUUGAUGAUUGAUGAUAUGUUUAUAGGUAUUGGAGUUGUCGGAGAUGACAGAAAAGUUAGUCCCUGAAAUGAGAGGAGAAACAUCAACAAUUUCCAAUUUUGAAGAGUUAUUUGAUUUUAGAUAUAAUCUUUCAAGUCUGAAGACCCUAAACUUGUCCGAACUAACUGAAUAGCGGGUGAUAUGGAGUGCUCCCAUCCAAGUUGAUUACUUUGAAAAUCUCUAUCAAUUGACAGUCCAAGAUUACAGAAGGUUAAGAUACAUCUUCUCACCUACCAUCGUUCGAAAUUUGCCACAAUUGUCCAGGUUGGGUAUAUUUAACUGUGAGGAAUUGGAGCAAAUAAUUGAUAAGGAUCAAACUCCGUCACAACAUCAUCUCCAACCUAUUUGCUUCCCUAAUUUGAAGCAGAUUACAAUCAAGAGGUGUGAAAACUUGAAAUGUUUGUUCCCAAUUACUCUCGCUGAUGGCUGCCUUCAAAAACUAGCUAGAACUAACGCUUAGCGGGGUCUCCAAAUUAGAGCAGGUGUUUGAAGGAGAUGAGGGAAAUGUGAGUAAGGACGAAGAGAAAGUGAUACACCUACCUCAGCUCGGCUUCUUGGAGCUUGAUGGGAUACCAAACCCCGUGAGCUUCAGCCCUGUGGGUUAUCAUUUUAUUUUCCAAUCUUUGUGCAGUUUGGAAGUCACAUAUUGUCCCAACAUAACCACAAGAUUUAGUGUUGAUUCAGAGAAAUCAGUGCAUGCCAGAACACAGGUACACUACUCUUCCAAACUCAAUAAUAAGCUUUAAAACAGAAAUUCAUCCAUCGAAUUAUUUUCUCUAUGCAUUCUCUCAAACUCUUUAUUUACUAAGCUUUAAUUUCUAUGCAUUAAAACAAUAUUUUUAUUUUGGUUGUCUGAGAGAAAUUCUUUUCUUAUGCUUUAAAUGACUGUAAAUGGUUUCUGUUGGCUGUCAAUAUUUCUUUAUAGAUAUCCUUGUUGCAUUAUUAUUUUCAUUUCACAGUUCUUGGUCUUAAUAUGUCAUCCUUUGUCCAAUUUUGGAAAAUUGUCUUUUCUUUCUUCACCACCAAUCAUCAGAAGCAAACCGUAAUAAGUCAAGGUUUACAUUGUGUUGCAGGCAAGCCAAUCAGUUGAUGAAGUUAAUGGAGAAACUACAUUUCCAAUUGGUCGUGAUAUAGAUUGGUAUAAAAAUUUCAAUUGAAUGCCAUUUCUUUAUUAAAAGGAGUACAGAAGUGGUAGCCAUAUAGACUAGCAUAAGCAUUCAAUUGAAUCCCAUUUCUUUCUUACGAGAUUAAUUUCAAUGAUUAAUAUAUUAAAAAACCCUUAAACAUGUCCUUAAAUUUUUUAUUUGCCUUCAUCCUCAUGAGUUGCAGUUUUCUCACCUUCGUCUUUCUCUCACCCAACACUGCCGAGAACAACUUCUCAUCUUCCAUCCUAUGCUGAUGACUAAAAUUUGAAUCCUCUUCAGAAUCCAGCGGCUCUUCGACUAAGUCUAGCAUUACAGAACGUAAAUAUAAAUAUUUUGUUUCUUUACAAGUCCUUCCAAAAGAUAACAAAGUCCUCGCCGAUUUUCUUAGCGAAUAUGGACUCUUCCCAGCUUUAGAAGAAAGGAAGGCUUGGUUAAUGACAAUUUCAACCUUCAGUCUAGCUUUCCUUUAGUACUCUUGGGUUCUUCUAAGCUACCUUCAAGUUUCAAAUAAAUGUGAAUUAAUCCAUAUGUUUUAAAACAAAGGGUAAAUUCCACUACUAGUCCCUCAAUUAUAUCUCAUUUAAUAAAAAAAGUUAUAAUUUGAUGAUUAACAUUUUUAAAAUUAUUUUUUGUCGCCGACCAAUAAAUGACUAAAAGUUACACUUUUUUAGUUUCUCCAUUUUUGUUCCCUAGGUCUUGUGGAAACAACUGAAGGUUUUGUGAUGCGUUACAUGCUGUUGAAAAACAUCUUUCAAAACUAAUUUCAUUUAGACUUGUGAAAUUAACUUUGAUGUCAUUCUUUUAGUAAAAAAAAUACAAAAUAUACAAAAAAAAAUUCUUUUUCAAGUUCCAUAAAAAAAAUUAUUUUUUGUUGACUUGAAACAGUUGCCAAGCAACAAGCAAAGUAUGAGCAUAAGUGGCUACGGAAGUGGUACUUCUGCAAGCGUUGUGAUUAGCAAAAAGAAAAUAUGAAACAAUUACAACAGUGAACCUAAAUAUAUCACACUCCAAUGAUGAUUCCUUACUCUUGUACCUUCAAAGAUUAGAUCACUCACCACAAAGUUCUCCAAGCCACUAAAUUCUCCCUUGGAGAACUUUGUUUGUAAAAUCAUAAUGCAAAAGUUUACAAUCACAAAUGCACUUUCAUAAAUAAUGUUCCUCACAUAUAAAUGGUCUUAAUAAUUAGUGCAUCAACCUAUAAUUUUAUAUUUUACAUUAUUUUUGCAUAUAUUAAAAAUAUUAUGUUAAAUUCAGAUUCAUUACAAUCUCAUUUUUUAAUUACAUGACUACUAAGUGAGUAUUUUUUAUUUAAAAAUGUGACAUUAAUAAAAUUGACAAAAAAAAAUUAACGAUGUCAACAAUUAUACUUGAUUUUCAAAUUUGAAAAGUAAACGGAUUAAAUUCUUGAAAAUAAAAGUAUAAACACUAAAUUACAAAUAUAUGAAGUGUACAUAAACUUAUGACAUAUUUUAACCAUUAUACUACAAAAUAUUUAUUAUUAAUAUAUUUAUAAUUGUAAUAAAUAUUUAUUAUUAAAAUAUUAAUAUAGAAUAUUUUCAAUUAUAUGUAAAUAAUAUUAUUUAAAAUUAUUAUUCUUAAAAUUUAUUAUUAAAAUAAAAUUAAAAUAUUAAAUAAUUUAUUAAAAUAAUAAAUUAUAUUUAUUAUAUCACUAAAUAUAAAUACUUAAAUAUGUAUUUUAAUAAUAUUAAAAAUAUAAUAUUUUAAAUAUUUUUAAAAAUAAAAAUAAAAAUUAUUAUUAAUAUAAUAAUAUUAAACUUAAUUUAAAAUAAUUUUUAUAUAAAAAUAAAAUUAUCCAUAAAUAAACUCUUUCGUAAUUCGUCCUCAUCAUUUCAUGUCAUGUGACUGUUAAUUCCCAAACAAAUGCACAGGUCAUUGGCAAACCAACCAGAACCAACUUGCAGCAAAGGAAGAUUCCCCUUUCCUUUUCAAUCCACUAAAAUACAGAAACAAAAACAAAUACUCAGAUUUAGAUCCAAUAUUGUAACAAUCUCAUAAUUAAGGCACCAAAUCCACUCACGCAAUUACUGAAACUUCAAGGAAAAUGUGAGAGCAUCGAUUUAUUAUUUUUUUAAUGACUUAAUUGCAAUAUAAUUAAUCCAUAAACUUUAAAUUAUUUUAAUUAUAUAUCCAAAUUAAUCGGGUUAUAUCAAUUAAGUUUUUUUAUUACUAAAAUUAUUAAUUUAAUGGAAAAUUAUCUCCCGAGACUCUCUCUCAAUUUUAAAAUUGAGCAAACUAGUCACUCUCAAAAAAAUUAAAGCAAUUUAAACACUAUUAAAUUUGAAAGUAAGCAAUUGAAGACAAUUAAUCACAAAUUAAAUUACUUUGAUUUUUUUAAAAGGGACUACAGAGGUCGUUUUAGCCAGUUUAAUUGUUAAAUUACAUGUUAGAUCUUAUGUGACAUGAUUUAAAAUAAUUUUUUUAAAAAUAAAUAUUGUAAAAAAUAGAUGUUUUAUAAAUAUUAAUUUUGAGAUUUUCGAAGUUUUUACAUUGUUUACCUUUUUUUUUUAAUUUUACUUAAAAUUGUUUUUAUUUUUAAAAAUCAUGCAACAUCAUUCUAUUUAUUUAAAAUUUUUAUUUUAAAUUUCGUUACAUAAUAUUUAAUGUGUCAUUUAAUGAUUUUAAUAUAUGAUUAAUAGUUUGGAUGUAAUUAAAACAGUUUGAAAUGUAGGGACCAAUUUAAAUCCCACUUCAAUAAUUUUUUUUUUUUGACAAACACUUCAAUAAUAUUAGUUUGUGGUAAGUGGGGCCAUUUUUUCAAAUAGGAAAAAAAAAAGCACGGGGUGACUGGUAAACCAAUCAGCACCAACUUGUUGCAAAGGAAGAUUCCCCUUUCCGUUCCAAUCCUCUAAAAUACAAUUAGAAAAACAAAUCCUCAUAAUUUAGAUCUAAGACUGCAGUAAUCUCAUAACACAAAUCCUUUGGCUACUAAACCAAGAAAAUCCAGUUGUGUUUCCGAGUGGUUGAAUCUUCCAGGCAGAUAAACUUCCAUUUCUUUCUGAAAGUUGUGUUUCCAUUUCUUUCCGAGUGGUUCAACCUUGAUUUCUACUUUGUUCUUUUUUCUUUUUAUUUCGCUUUCUUCAACUUCCUUUCUUUUUGUAGUCAGUUUUACUUACUUUUGCUCAAAAAAGAAAAAAAAAAAACCCAGCCUUCAAAUCCCUUUUGAUUGAUUUGAAGUAGUAAGAAUCUUCUCAACACAAAGUGUAUAGUUUGAUUUUGAGGUAAAUCUAUUUAUAUUUGUAUUUAUAUAUAUAUAUAUAUAAAUUAAAUUUGUUAUAUAUUUUUUUUGAUCUCAUCUCAUCUCAUCUUUUUAUGUUCUUCUUGAAGCAAAUUAGAGGUAAAGGAGUGUUUGGAUUGACGAUCAAAUUCUUGGAGUUACAACUUCAUUUUGAAGUGGUAAGUGGAUAUGUUUCCAUCAUUCUUAUAACUAAUUAUAUG